AUCGUCACAGUGCGGCGCGCUUGGCUGCGGCUCGGGUCCGUCGAAGAUCAAGUCUCCGCGGACAUCGGCCGUGAAGUUUAAGCUUCCGAAUCUGACCUGACGGCCAGGGGCGUAGCUUUCGAUCUGCUCCAGAUGGCCAAGAGAAUUGGCCCGCAGUGCAAAGCCGCCGAAUACGAAGAUCUGUCCGGGGAGAAAAGUCUCACCCUGGACAGCGUUGAUGGUUGAAGAUGCCAUCGAGCCUAUCGGUGACGACACAGAGGAACUCUCAAUGAAAGCACCAAUGUCGGUGUCAAAACCGGCGGAUCUCGGGUAGGGGGUCCCGAACUGUGCAUCUAGGCGGAUGGUAACAAGAGACGAGGGACACAAUGUUUUUACCCAGGUUCGGGCCCUCUCGAUGGAGGUAAAACCCUACGUCCUGCUUGAUUAAUAUUGAUGAUGUGGGUAGUACAAGAGUAGAUCUACCACGAGAUCAAGGAGGCUAAACCCUAGAAGCUAGCAUAUGGUAUGAAUGUUGAGAUGUAUGUUCGUCCUACGGACUAAGGCCCUCCGGUUUAUAUAGACACCGGAGAGGCUAGGGUUACACAGAGUCGGUUACAAUGGUAGGAGAUCCACAUAUCCGUAUUGCCAAGCUUGCCUUCCACGCCAAGGAAAGUACCCUCCGGACACGAGCCGGAGUCUUCAAUCUUCUAUCUUCAUAGUCUUGGAGUCCGGCGGAUAAUGAUAGUCCGGCUGUCCGAACACCCCAUAGUCCAGGACUCCCUCAUCGGCCGUGCCAAGAAGCAACUCAAAGACAAGGAAGGUGAGUAACACCGUAUUAAAUUUGUACCUUACAGAAAUGGAUUUUGGUUGCAAGAGAAAUAACAAGGAUAACGUGGGUACUCCAGGGGCCACGAACAAGGUGGCGACCCUGAAGGAGGCCGUGUCCGCGGCCGAUCGCAAUGUGGCCGCGGAACGAGCCGAGCGAGAGAAGCAGGAGGCACAGGUGGCGGAGGUGCAGCAAGAGCUCCAGGCUCUCAUGGAAAAGCAUGAGAGUUUGGAGCGUGACUCGAAGACUCGAGAGUCCGAGCUUGCAUCGACUCUUGAGAGUGCCAAAGCCGCUAAGGCCGAAGCCCACAAGGCCCUCCAGGAAAUCGAGGCGGUGAAGAAAAUAGCGGCGGGUAAGGCAUUUUUCAUGCAAUGCAAGCAUGUGAAUGUGAAUUACCUGUUACUUACCCGAAUUCGGAGCUCUCCAGGAGCGUUCGUAGAUCUGCCUCGUAGCGUGUCCGAUGCUGCUGCUUUCUACCGGGCCGAGGAGGGGAGCUCGACGGAGAAGGUCUUCUGGUCUCAGUAUGCUGAGGCCGGACAUCCGGUGCCCCUUAGCGACCAGCUAAAGCAGCUGGUCGAGCUCCACAAGGUAGCUGAACAGGCCAUGAAGGGCCUCAUAGUUUGGCUGUGGCCCAAGGAGGCCAUGCCUGGGAGCUACUUCGGCCUGGUGCGGCGGCUGGUCGAUGCGUGUCCCUGGGUGGAGGUCGUCAAGCACUCCGCCUGCAUUAAAGGUGCCCGUCGGGCCCUUGCCCGUGCAAAAGUGCACUGGGGCAGGAUGGACGCUGAGAAGCUUCUGACGGACGCGCCGCCAGCGGGCAAGGAGUAUCGCACGCCCGAAAUGUAUUAUAAGAGUGUCCUGAAGGGUGCCCGCAUGAUUGCGGAUGAGUGCUCCAAAGAUGUAAUAUUUGAGUAGAAUUGCAUUAUGUUAUCCUGUGCGCUGAUAACUGUGUUCAUAUGCGCUAAGCAAUGCUUAUUAAUUUAAAAUAUUACUUUCUGUGCGGCCGUUUAUCAAAUCUGAGAGAUGGCAAGUCGUUGGCUUCAGCCCCCAUGCCACGAGUGCUGGGGUGUUCGGGAUAAACUUGAGCGCUCUUGUUCCCGUUGUUGGGUCCAUCUAGGGAGGCGCUCAACACAACGAACGAGGCAACUGGACUUAUAAUGCUUGAACACUCUCACUUAGCCAUAGAAUUCUAUACUUUUAAAUUUCGGUGAAGCCCCUAGUGUUCGAAAGACCGAGUUCGGGGCGCUAUCCACGCCUGGGCCGGACAAAAGCCGGUUCCUCGCUCUAAGUGGCAUAAGUCUUUAGGGACUCAAAAAAACCUCUCGAACAGCGACCAACUCUCGCCUUAUCAUGAUGGUCAGUUUUAGCUUUCUCCACUAAGGCGCUCGCCCAGCUCAACCGGGGCACAAUCGCAGUGGUUCUCCCAGUGCUACCUUAGCCGAUACAACGGAACGUAAGGUACCAAAACAUGGGAGCCGGGCAAACCCAACUAUUGACCCAAGACAUGAUUCGGAGCCGAUGCAUAUAAUGCUAUAAGUUCGGGGUGCCGCACUUGUGAAAGUGUUUGGACUUAUCACACCAUAAUGUGGGGAACUUAAGCCCCUGGUGUAUUUAGCCGUACCAAGGUGUACGGAUGCAACAUGUCAUAAACGAACAUAUAUAAGAAAUAAAUGCAGUUAUAAGAAAAAAGCGAUGCAUUGUUUGUUCCAGAAAUACUGCCAUGAAUGCAGAAUGAUACAAAUAGUGCGGUAAGCAAGGGAUUGGACUAUUAAACAUGUCCCCCUCCAGGGGUAGGCUGCGGAAUGGUGUAUUAAACAGAUUUAAUGCUCAUAAUGGAGACCACCUGAGUGUUCGCAGUAGCCUUUCUCCUUCCCUGGCUGUUGCAUCGUGAGUUCGGCAGGUCGACUGCCGGACAGGGCCUCUGGUGAACGUAGUCCUGUGGGUAAGAAAAAAGAAAAAAGAAAAAGAGCGACACACUUGGGAGCCCCUGGUGUGGUUGAUCCGCACUCUCGGCCUGUCGUGGUCGUGCCCCUCCCCCUAUGCCCAUGGUAUCUCUAGAGCAUAAUGAUGUACGCGAAGGACCAGUCUUGCGAUUUUGCAGGGCCUGGGGUUGGAGCCACAUUGCUACGCGUGCUCGGAACGUGCCAGGUGGUCUUGUUGUAGGUUACUCCGGGCGCGUUUGGUCGUGUCCGGUCACUUAACGGCCGGACUCGAAAAUUGCCUGAAGAGGCUGCUCUGUACUUCUGCUGCGAGAGCCGCUGUGUGUUCCUCCGUUCGGAGGGAGCGUUCAGUGUUUCUGUUGACCGUGAUGACUCCUCGAGGGCCUGGCAUCUUGAGCUUGAGGUAUGCGUAAUGCGGCACCUCGUUGAACUUUGCAAACGCGGUUCGUCCGAGCAGAGCGUGAUAGCCGCUGCGGAACGGGACUAUGUCGAAGAUUAACUCCUCGCUUCGGAAGUUAUCCGGGGAUCCGAAGACCACUUCCAGUGUGACUGAGCCUGUACAAUUGGCCUCUACACCUGGUAUGACGCCUUUGAAGGUCAUCUUUGUAGGUUUAAUCCUUGAGGGGUCUAUGCCCAUCUUGCGCACUGUAUCCUGAUAAAGCAGGUUCAGGCUGCUGCCACCGUCCAUCAGGACUCUGGUGAGGUGAAAUCCAUCGACGAUUGGGUCUAAAACCAAUGCGGCGAAUCCGCCAUGGCGGAUACUGGUGGGGUGGUCCCUUCGAUCAAAGGUGAUCGGGCAAGAGGACCAUGGGUGGAACUUCGGGGCGACUGGCUCCAUCGCAUAUACAUCCCUAAGUGCAUGCUUCCGCUCCCUCUUGGGUAUGUGGGUUGCGUAUAUCAUGUUUACCGUCCACACUUGUGGGGGGAAACCUUUCUGUCCUCUAUUGUUCGGUGGCCGGGUCUCUUCCUCGUCAUUGUUAUGCAGCCUCUUGUCAUUGUUUUUGGAAAUUAGCUUGCCUGCCUGCUUAAAUACCCAACAAUCCAUGUUGGUGUGAUUAGCUGGCUUUUCAGGGGUGCCAUGUAUCUGGCAAGAGCGGUUGAGUAUUCGGUCCAAAUUGGACGGGCCCGGAGUAGUUCUUUUGAAUGGCUUUUUCCGCUGACCAGGUUUAGAGCCUCUGAAUCCGGCGUUUACUACCGUAUCCUCAGUGUUAUCGCUGUUAACGCGACGCUUGUUUUUGUUUCGACACGACCUGCCAUUGCGGUCCUUGGUAUCCGGACUACCAGAAUUUUUGCUGAGGUUGUUACUGCGGGCUAGCCAGCUGUCCUGUCCUAGGUGCCUGGACAGCCACUCGUCGCGGAUGUUAUGUUUGAAGGCUGCGAGGGCCUCUGCAUCUGGACAGUCGACGAUUUGGUUUUUCUUUGUUAAGAACCGUGUCCAGAACUGUCUGGCCGAUUUGUCUGGCUGCUGAAUUAUGUGGCUUAGGUCAUCGGCGUUUGGUGGUCGCACAUAUGUGCCCUGGAAGUUGUCAAGGAAUGCGGCUUCCAGGUCUUCCCAACACCCAAUUGAUUCUGCUAGCAAGCUGUUAAGACAAUGCCGAGCUGGUCCUUUAAGCUUGAGUAGGAGAUAUUUGAUGGCGUGAAGAUCCUCACCGCGGGCCAUGUGGAUAUGAAGGAGAUAGUCUUCGAUCCAAACCGCAGGGUCUGUUGUGUCAUCGUAGGAUUUAAUGUUCACGGGUUUAAACCCUUCGGGGAUUUGAUGCUCCAUUUCUUCAUCUGUGAAGCAUAGUGGGUGUGCGGCGCCUCUAUAUUGGGCUAUAUCACGACGUAGCUCAAACGAGCUUUGUCUACUGUGUUCGGCCCGGUCGGACUUGCUUUGUCCGGCGCGACGGUUGUCGUCGCGUGCCAUGGGGCGCCCACGCGAUUCGUAGAUCAAUCUUGAUUGUCUUGCCUUAUCCUCCAAUAUAUCUUGCAAGUCCGGAGCAUUCCCCUGUGGCCUUGUGCUUUUCGAGCGAUGCCGGGGUACGGUUCUGAUGGAGGGCCUAAAGGCCUCUCUGUCGCGGCCACGAGGUGGUCGGUCAGGCGUAUUGUGCUCUGGUGAUGCAGGUUUAUAUGCCUCCUCCUCUAAUCGGGGGAGCAACUUGCGUUUGGAGUAGCUUUUGGAGGGGCGUUCGAGUUCAUACUCUUCGGCCGCAAGGACUUCAGUCCAUCUGUCGGCUAGCAGGUCUUGAUCAGCUCUAAGCUGUUGCUGCUUUUUCUUUAGGCUGUUCGCCGUGGCCAUAAUCCUGCGUUUGAAACGCUCUUGUUCGAUGGGAUCCUCGGGCACGACGAAUUCGUUGUCGUCGAGGCUUGCCUCGUCUCCGGAGGGAGGAAUGUAAUUAUCAUCCUCUACCUCUUCGUCUGCCGCUCUCUCAUGAGGGCUGGCUUCUCCGUCCUCCUAUGCUAAAUCUUGCUGGAGGGGGUUGUCUUCGGCGCUCUCUGGGGUGUUAUUAUCCCUGAUGCCGGAAUCUCCAUUCUUGCUGUGGCGGGAUUUAGAGCGGCGCCGCUGACGCCGGCGCUUGGGCUGUUUCUUGGAGGAAUCUGCCUCCGCUGCUUCUUCGCCAUUCCCAUCCUUUGGGAUGUCCACCAUGUAUAUGUCGUAUGACGAGGUGGUCUUCCAGUGUCCCAUAGGUGCUGGUUCUUGGUCGUCUCCCGCAUCGUCGUCCAUACCGUCGAUGUCUUCGGAGUCAUAGUCUAGCAUGUCGGUUAGAUCGUCGACAGUGGCUACAAAGUGGGUGGUGGGUGGGCUUUGAAUUUCUUCGUCGUCCGCAUCCCAACCAUCCUGACCGCAGUUCGGCCAGGGCUCUCCUAACAACGAGAGAUACUUUAGCGAAUUCAGAAUAUCGCCGAAAGGCGAGUGCUGAAAGAUGUCCAUGGUGGUGAACUCCAUGAUCGGCACCCAGUCGGAUUCGAUUGGUAGGGGCGCAAGAGGUUCGGAGUCCGGCGAGGAGUCCGGCACCUCAGAGUCACGAGCUUCACAAAGGACAAGGUCAGUAUUCGGCUCCAUCGCCGUAGAGGUUGCAGCCCCCGAGGCGGUGUCUAGCCACCCAUCCUCGAUCUGCUCGGUCGGCUCCGAAUUAAGGAUCGGAGCGGACUUAUGUGCGGCCUCCAGGGCACUGUCCGGCAGCAGAGCUAGAUCAUGCCCAUCGAGACAGUGCGGCGCACUCAUCUAUGGCUCGAAUCCAUCGAAGAUCAAGUCUCCGCGGAUGUCAGCCGUGAAGUUUAGGCUUCCAAAUCUGACCUGAUGGCCAGGGGCGUAGCUUUCGAUCUGCUCCAGAUGGCCAAGCGAAUUGGCCCGCAGAGCAAAGCCACCGAACACGAAGAUCUGUCCGGGGAGAAAAGUCUCACCCUGGACUGCGUCAUUGUUGAUGAUCGAAGGAGCCAUCAAGCCUAUCGGUGACGACACAGAGGAACUGUCAAUGAAAAUACCAAUGUCAGUGUCAAAACCGGUGGAUCUUAGGUAGGGGGUCCCGAUGUGCGUCUAGGCGGAUGGUAACAUGAGACAAGGGACACGAUGUUUUUACCCAGGUUCGGGCCCUCUCGAUGGAGGUGAAACCCUACUCCUGCUUGAUUGAUAUUGAUGAUAUGGGUAGUACAAGAGUGGAUCUACCACGAGAUCCAGGAGGCUAAACCCUAGAAGGUAGCCUAUGGUAUGAUUGUUGUAAUGGAUGUUCGUCCUACAGACUAAAACCCUCCAGUUUAUAUAGACACCAGAGAGGGCUAGGGUUACACAGAGUCGGUUACAAUGGUAGGAGAUCUACAUAUCCGUAUUGCCAAGCUUGCCUUCCACGCCAAGGAAAGUCCCAUCCGGACACGGGACGAAGUCUUCAAUCUUGUAUCUUCAUAGUCUUGGAGUCCGGCCGAUGAUUAUAGUUCGGCUAUCCGGACACCCCCUAGUCCAGGACUCCCUCACAUGCCACGGUUGCUUCGACACAUGCUAUAAGUACUGUUCACUCUGAACUUAACCGAAGAAACUGAACAUUACAGUCGAAACUGAAUUUUAAUGUCGAAACUGAUUGAACUAGUAGCAAAGCAUUGCAAUAGAUGUUUAGUGUGUUCAAGCACUAGUAGCAGAGAAGCAAUGAUCUAAAUCAGCAAACGCUCGAGCAGGGUACACACUAGCAGAGAGCAAAUCAUGCAGUAGUGUGAUGCCCGGAUAAUUAAGCUACAGUAAUCCUCCAUUAAUGGUGCCACGUCAUCACAUUACUGUUGCUAAUCCUCACUUGAUCCAAACCACUGUUUAUAUUCAAACUCAAAUUUAAAGUCAAAAUUCAAAUUUGCCAAACAUGAAAACUAAAAUGUUCAAAGUGUGGCAAAUAAUCCCUGGGUAUUUGUCUUGUUGGAACCAACCUCUUUUGGAUUUCGAAAGUGCCCCUGGAAAUCAUUUAGUGGUCCAACAUCAUAUUAAAUAACCUUUUCAAUCUCUAAAAAUGCUUGAACAAUUCCUUUGGCCCUGAAACUUUUUAGGCAACACCACUAUAUUGUGCCUGAACUAUUUGAUGAGUUUCACACUCGACAAAAAUCAUUUGAUGCCUUAUUUCUAUCCAAAACAGUAGCUAUCCUUUUGAUAAAAAAUUAAAGAAAUAAAAUUAUAGAAAAGGAACCCCCCCCCCUUUUUCCCACCGGGCCUCAACCCCGCCGGCCCACUCGGCCACCCCCCACAGGCCGGCCUACCCUGUUGCCUCCUUAUCCCCUCCCACUCCAGUAACCCUAGCCCGCUACACCCCACUCCACCAUGAUCCUCCUCGUUUCCCCACUCCCUCCCCACGAUUCUGGAUCAAGGCACAGCGCCUCNNNNNNNNNNNNNNNNNNNNNNNNNNNNNNNNNNNNNNNNNNNNNNNNNNNNNNNNNNNNNNNNNNNNNNNNNNNNNNNNNNNNNNNNNNNNNNNNNNNNNNNNNNNNNNNNNNNNNNNNNNNNNNNNNNNNNNNNNNNNNNNNNNNNNNNNNNNNNNNNNNNNNNNNNNNNNNNNNNNNNNNNNNNNNNNNNNNNNNNNNNNNNNNNNNNNNNNNNNNNNNNNNNNNNNNNNNNNNNNNNNNNNNNNNNNNNNNNNNNNNNNNNNNNNNNNNNNNNNNNNNNNNNNNNNNNNNNNNNNNNNNNNNNNNNNNNNNNNNNNNNNNNNNNNNNNNNNNNNNNNNNNNNNNNNNNNNNNNNNNNNNNNNNNNNNNNNNNNNNNNNNNNNNNNNNNNNNNNNNNNNNNNNNNNNNNNNNNNNNNNNNNNNNNNNNNNNNNNNNNNNNNNNNNNNNNNNNNNNNNNNNNNNNNNNNNNNNNNNNNNNNNNNNNNNNNNNNNNNNNNNNNNNNNNNNNNNNNNNNNNNNNNNNNNNNNNNNNNNNNNNNNNNNNNNNNNNNNNNNNNNNNNNNCCCGCUUCCGGUGCUCGCCCGUGUCGCGCCCCAGCGCCGCCCCACCGUGGCCUCGACGCUGCUGGGCAUAGCCCCAGUCGGCCGGCCUCGCCCCUCUGCCCCGACGGGUGCCGUCGCCCAUGCCCCAGCGCCCGUGAGCCCCUAUGGGCCACUGACCGUGGGGCCCAGCCCCUCUAAAAAGGGGGGGAAAUAAUUUUUUAAAAAAAAUAAAAAUAAAAAAUAAGAUUAAGUAAUUAGUUAACUAAUUAAUUAAUUAAUUAGGUAACUAAUUAACUUAAUUAACUCUGUUUAGUACCUAAUUAACUUGUUUAGUUAAUUAAAACUGUUAAUUAGUUGUUAGUCUAUGACAGAACGGCCGCAUAGGCCAGGGUUGACUUUGGUCAACUCUGUUGACUGCUGACGUCUAGAUGACAUGUGCAAUAACCCUAUUUUAGAUUUAAUAAUAAUUUUAGAAAAGGUUGAAACCUUUGAAAAAUAAUAUAAAAUAAACCGUAGCUCGGAUCGAAAAACUUUGUACAUGAAAGUUGCUCAGAACGACGAGACAAAUCCAAAUACGCUUCCCGUUCGUCCGCCACACGUCCCUAGCAUAGCGAACCUGCAAACUUUCCCCUCUUGUUCAUCUGUCUGAUAGACGUCCGGAACCGGGAAAACUUUCCCGGAUGUUUCCCCCUUGGCCAGUAAUGCCUAGCACCGCGUUAGAACACCUCCAGCAUCGCUUAUUGUCAUGUUAUGCAUAUGUUUGCGUGUAUUUACUGGUUAUUCCCCCUCUUCUCUCCGGUAGACCCCGAGACUGCCGCUGAUGCCGUUGUGAUCAACUACGUCAACGAUGACCCCUUCUUCUUGUCUGAGAAAUCAGGCAAGCCCCCCUUUGAUCAUCCCGAUAUCUCCCAUUCUAUACUCUCAUGCUUGCAUUAGAUUUUUCUAUUGUUAUUGUUUGCUCCUAUUCGGAUGCAUAGCCUGCUUUUGUACCUGCUUAUUGUUACCUAUUUCCUUAUCCUAAACUGCUUAGUAUAGGUUGGCUAGUGAUCCAUCAGUGACCCCCACUUGUCCUUGUUGCCCCUGCUUCAUCAUCGACGCCUCGAUCGACGUGAUCGACGACCAGAGCCUGGCACCUCACAUCACAUCAUGCCCCCCUUUUGUUGCUCGACUCUGCAGAGCUACUAUCGAGUGCCAAGGGUGAUCCCUCAUAACGCACUCCUGAUGAUAAUCCUGUAGUGUAGCUAUUCGGUCGUGGUCAUCGAGGGUGAUUUCCUCUUUCACCAUUCCCGAUACGGCUCUGUCGUUCAACACCUCAAGUGUGAACCUCGAGGGUGGUCCCUCUUACGUUCACCUUGAUGAUUACAUUGAGUGGAAUCCUCCGUGGGUGAUUCCACGGGUUUUCCCCUUGAUGUUUGGACACACGGUUACAUUGACUUUAUUCGAGACCUUGGUGAAAGUCGGGCGGGCCCGGAGAGCACCCGCAAGAUUAUGACGUGGCACGGCCAGGCAUUCUAGGCCCUUGUCGUAAGUCCACGAGACGGGGCGACGGGGUCACUUUCGAUCGUGAGUCUCUACUCGUCUCCGCAAGUUAAUAAUACACUAUGGUUUGGGUAUUUGUUCUGAGUUGGCCUCUGGCCUUUACGCACCAACCACCACGCGAGAAUAUUUAUGGGCCUCGGCAUCGUGGUAUCAGCCGAAGCUUUGUUAGACGUCCAGUUCAGUAGUGCGGCACGGCUGGGCCGGCACCAUCCUGUAGUGGUGGAGCCUGGACCCGCCCUGUACGCAACGAUCCGGAGUGCAACGGGCGAUGGGCCCAGACCCCGGAGUGCUUAGGAUGUAGACCGGCGGGGACCUCUCUGCUGAGCCUAGGUAGGGCUGGACGUGUUGAUAUUUCGAGGCCGAGCAUUGACCCCAGAAAGGUGUGUCCGGCCAAAGUGAUCGAGCGUGUUGGCAAAUGUGGUGCACCCCUGCAGGGAAGAUUAUCUAUUAAUAGCCGUGUCCACGGUAACGGACGUUUAGACUUAUAUCCUGAUCUUAUACAACUACAAAUGGAUACUUGAGAUAUGUGGCUCCGGGAUUUAUUUCUCGCAGGGAGUCGAGGAAGGAUGUCUGGGCAUUAAUGUUACAACAUGAUUGUUAAUUAUAAAAUGCUAUUCUUUACUCUUCUACAUGCUGCAAGAUGCUUGGAGCUGCUUGAAGAUGCUAGUCUUCGAUAGGCUAGGCCUUCUCCCUCUAUUAUUGCAUUUUGCAGUUCAGUCCACAGAUACAACCCUUCCAUUUGAUACCAAUGCAUACAUAGUAUAGAUCUGAUGCUUGCGAGUACUUCGGAUGAGUACUCACGGUUGCUUUGCUACCCCUUUUCCCCCUUCUUUCUUCUUUCCGGUUGAUGCAACCAGAUGGUGGAUCCUUGGAGCCAGAUGCCACCGCCGAUGGAUGCUACUACGUGGAGACCGCCGACGACCAGGAGUAGCUAGGAGGUACCAGGCAGGAGGCCUUGCCUCUUCGAUCGUGUUGCUUUUGUGCUAGCCUUCUUAAGGCAAAACUUGUUUAACUUACGUCUGUACUCAGAUAUUAUUGCUUCCGCUGACUCUUGUGUAUCGAGCUUGUAUUCGAGCCCUCGAGGCCCCUGGCUUGUAAUAUAAAGCUUGUAUUAUUUUAUUUGUGUCUAGAGUUGUGUUGUGAUAUCUUCCCGUGAGUCCCUGAACUUGAUCGUACACAUUUGCGUGUAUGAUUAGUGUACGGUCGAGUCGGGGGCGUCACAAGUAGCACCACGAGCGAGUGCUAAAUCAGCAACCCCUGUAGCUGCUGGAGAUCGUGCAUCAGCAGUAGCAACGUGAGAGAGAGCAAGAGCAAAGCAGCAGCACGAACGAGAGCAAGAGCGAUGCAGCAGCUUGACCGACAGCAAUAGUAGAGCAGAGUAGCAACACGAACGAAAGCAAGAAUAGUGCAGCAGCGCGACCGACAGCAAGAAUAGAGCCGCAGCACGAGCAAGAGCCAGAGCAGCUGCAGCUAGUGCCGGUGUGGAAGUCGAUGCCGAGGAAGCAACAUUAUGGGGGAGAGACGCCGUGGAUGAAGUGGCCAGCGACGGCGCCAUCGAUGGAGACCCACCAUGGCUGCUCGGUAUCGAGCACCGGCAGCCCCGUGAGGUCGACUAAAUAUGAAAUGAAGCAGUGAGUGCAGAACCUCCUUGGUGGCGCCGAGUUGGCCUCGGCUUCAUCAGAGGAAUUGGUGAGGGUGUUGUGGUUCUGGUGGGGCAGGUCAAGACGGUGUUGUGGGGCUGGAGGUGGCGCGAUAGACGAGGCAAACGUCAGGGCAGAUCCUUGGAAGCGGAGGAUGGGGCGGCUGAUCCGGCGGGACAACAAGAUCGACAAUGGAUCCUCAUCCGAUGCGGUAAUGAGGGACAUCAAGCUGUUACGGUGGACGACGUCGUCGGGGAAGAGUCUCCGGCUAGGCAGCAGUCGGGAGGCGGACGGAGGAGUGUGGGGUUUCGCGGGUUUUGGCGGCCUCAGUUUACGAAUGGUGUGAACGAAGGGGAAGGUAGGGGGAGCCAUGGCUUAGGGACGAGCUUGUCCGAAAUGUAGGUUAAGUUACCAACGUACCCCCACCGGUUUUGACAUUGCGACAUCGAGCCGGCAAUUCCGGCUUAGGGGUAGAAGGGGGAUUUUGCGUGUCUAGGCUGCGAGACCGAUUUUGGAUGAGGAGCGAGUUUUCGCGCGCGUCGAAAUUUCAGGACAACGAGGUGCGGCGCGGGUUGAAGAGGCGGGAGUUUCAAAGUAGGUGAGACAAAAGAUACUUGAGCUCGAAAAUUUCGGGAUAACUGUCGGCAUUCUGGAUAUGGGGGUAUCCAGACCUGCCUACCUGUGGCCCACCACUUCGCUCCAUCGACCGCCUGGUACAGCCCGGCUUCAGCACCAACAACUCAAGACCCUUGCUAGGGGCCAAGCCUCGCGAGGCGGAUGGCGCCAAGACCCCUAAGGGGAUCGACCUCUUCAGGCUGGCUCCCGAGGGGUGGAGAGUUCUAUGCAAGGUCUGCCUCACGCGGCUUAGCUGACAUGAGCCAUGACAACCAAGGCCAGGCAGGUGCCAGGCGGGCGCCAGCGGGCGUAGAGCGUAGGUUUCCUCUUCGGUGCAAGUGAGGCAAGCCGCAGGCGCGGAGUCCCGAGGAAUCAGCCAAAGUUUCCAUUCUGGUGCAACGAGACCAAGACCGCCAGGACGGCAGGACUGAGGUCAUCCCCGAGCCCACCGCAGCGUCACGACCAGGGGCUUUUUGCAGGCAAAGACUACUUUUGUCAGGAUAAGUUGUACUACUUGUCCCCUUUCAAAUCCGGCCGUUACUGGACCCCUUCCCGCCAACAUUGGGGAAGAGGACCAAGGCCACUAUAAAGAGGACUUAGCCACCACCAUAGAGAGCAUCUGAUUCACAUCCCCUCAGCUCUCUCAAGGUCAAGAACACCUCACCUCCUGAGGCUAGUUCAUCCCUGUACUAGUUCAUCCUCAUCCCUCCGAGGCAAUCCACCAAAAUGCUGGAUUAGGGUAUUACACCGCAAGGUGACCCGAACCUGGAUAAGCUGUUGCGUCUCUUUAUCCCUUCGAGCUUGUCGCGCUAGGCUUAGGAGGAUCGCGAGUAGGCAGGCUGGGUAGGUUGAGUUCUCCGCACGCACCCCAGAGUUCAAACCUUUCAAGGGUUUGCGGAACCCGUAAUUCGAUAUUUGGCGCACCAGGUAGGGGUGCGUCGGAUCUUCUCUUCUGCCGAUCGACCCACGGCCACUCCGACACCUCCAUGGCCGACGCACGCCGAACUCGCACCGAGCGCCGGGCCGCAGUCGCUCUUCGUGUUGCUCAGACGGCUCCGGAGGGUGAUGGUUGUGCUCGUCGUGCUCCGUCUCCAAUGGCCAACGCCGCCAUGGGCCCUGCCGGCUAUGAACAGCAAGCUUCUUAGCUGCAUCCGUCGGUGCACUGUGACGGGUGCACCGCUACUCCGUCACCAACUCCAGUAGCUUCGUCCUCCCACGAGCGUCACGUCCUGGUGGACGUGCAGGCCUCUCUGCUCAUGGCAUGGGAGCUCCUUCACUACCACCCGAUCGGCGACUUCUACGAGGAGUGGCUCGAGCGGAUCGCUGAGCUUGUCAGCGUGGCCGGGGGCUCCGCCGCCUCGCCCCGCUCACUGCCUCAGCAGCCACCUGCAGUGGGUGACAUGGCUCAUGGGGCUCUUCCACCACCUCCGGCCCAGGGCAUCAUUGUCGGUGUCAAAACCGGCGGAUCUCGGGUAGGGGGUCCUAAACUGUGCGUCUAGGCGGAUGGUAACAGGAGACGAGGGACAUGAUGUUUUUCCCAGGUUCGGGCCCUCUUGAUGGAGGUAAAACCCUACGUCCUGCUUGAUUAAUAUUGAUGAUAUGGGUAGUACGAGAGUGGAUCUACCACGAGAUCAAGGAGGCUAAACCCUAGAAGCUAGCCUAUGGUAUCAUUGUUGUAAUGUAUGUUGUGUCCUACGGACUAAAGCCCUCCGGUUUAUAUCGACACCGGAGGAGGCUAGGGUUACACAGAGUCGGUUACAAUGGUAGGAGAUCUACAUAUCCGUAUCACCAAGCUUGCCUUCGACGCCAAGGAAAGUCCCAUCCGGACACGGGACGGAGUCUUCAAUCUUGUAUCUUCGUAGUCUUGGAGUUCGGCGGACGAUGAUAGCCCGGCUGUCCGGACACCCCCUAGUCCAGGACUCCCUCAGUAGCCCCUGAACCAGGCUUCAACGACGAUUAGUCCGGCGCGCAUAAUGUUCGGCAUUGCAAGGCGGGUUCCUCCCUUGAAUAAUCCAGAGAAGAUCAUGAACACCAGGAUAGUGUCCGGCUCUGCAAAAUAAAUUCCACAUUCCACCGUAGAGAGAAUAAAAUGUACACCAGUUCAAUCUGCUGACGUAUUAUGCAGCGUGACAUCACACCGCUACCAGGCUUUUACUUGAAUCGUUAUUUACUAUACCACCUCAGCACGUUUAGCGAAGCGAUUUCCUUGGCACGUCUUGUCGAAGAAGAGAUCGUGUUCCCCCUAUUCCGGGAUUCUCAUCAAUACAUGCGUGGGUAACCCAACCGUUCCCGUCGCCACGCCUCCUCUAUCGAAGGUGAAUCCCAAACGGUUACGGAGACGGCUCUUGGUAUUUUUUCCUCUUUAUAAGAGGACCAAGGCUUGUCCUUGUUCUUCAAUCUCGCAUCGAAUCUCCUCCUCGCUCCCAGCUCCAACACCUAGAGCCUCAGAAUCGAGCGCUUCGGAUGCUCAACCAUGUCCGGCUCCAACCUCCAGGGCCGGUGGAUGCCCUCCUCCGUCACGGAGGAGGACAUAUUGAAGUUACGCGAGGCCAAGUACCUGGCCUACGAGGUUUCGCACAGGUUGCCCAUCCAAGGGCAGGCCGUGCCUGCCCCCGAGCCCGGUGAGUUCGUUGUCUUCGUAUCCCACCUCCGUCGGGGUUUAGGCUUCCCGACGGAUCCCUUCGUGAGAGGGCUCAUGUUCUACUAUGGGCUGGACUUUCACGACUUGGCUCCGGAGUCCAUCCUCCACAUCUCCGCAUUCAUUAUCGUCUGCGAAGCCUUCCUCCGUGUCACUCCCCACUUCGGCCUGUGGCUGAAGACCUUCAAUGUGGAGCCGAAGAUGAUCGGGGGGCGUCAAGCGGAGUGCGGCCGGGCGGCCAUAAGCAAAAAGGACGAUGCCCCAUGGCCUGAGGGUUCCUUCCAAGAGGAACUCGGACUGUGGCAACAGGAGUGGUUCUAUAUCACCGCUCCGAAGGGCAGCAAGCAAAAGCCGCCGCCUUCCUUCCGCCCGGGACCUCCAUGCCGACUGAUGUCAUGGGUCAACCAAGGGCUCAGUUGGGGUCCGUCCGAAGACGUGCCCUUAUUGCAGGGCCGGAUUCGAGACCUCCAGGCGAGGGAGAUCAAUCUGAUUGUGGUGAUGCAGGUUAUGUUAAUCAGGCAUCUUUUGCCCUGCAAACAUCGUCCUCUCCGUCUAUGGGAGUUCAACCCGGAGGGACCUCGGAUUCUCCAACACUUCAUGGGUGCGACACCCAUGGAGAUGUACAAGUUGUUCUUCGGACCGCAGGUGGCGUGUCCGGAAUUGGCCGAGGACGGAGGCCUAAGCCGCAAUCGCCCGGAUACUCAGGUAAAUAGCUCAGAGUCCGGAUGCCCUGUUUAUCUUCUUUUCUAGAGUUCGCCUCCUGACCCAUUGCUCUUCACAGGAGUGGGUAGCACAUUCGAGGCUGAUAAGGUGUCCGGCACAUGCGAUGGGGAAAGUAGAGGAGCUAUUAUUUCACCCAAAGGGGCGUCCGAAGAGAGGGGAAUCGAAAACCCCUCCUUCCAGGGGGAGAAGAGGACCGCCUCCGAAGAUCCGGAGGCCAAAGCCCCUAAGCAUGGGAAGAGAUCUUCACCGGGGGGUCCGGCGUCUGGAGAGAAUCCGGACGCACAAUCAUCGCCAAAGGAUCAGCCCUCCAGCGAGCCGUGAGUAUAAAAAGGGGAGUUAAUUAGUAAGGAAAUACCUCCAUUUGUGCUUCUAUGGGUAACCGAAAUAUUUAUCUUGCAGUUCGGAUCUGCAGCCUUCUCAGAUUACUUCAUCUUCGGGGGACCUUCUUCCGGAGAUGAUGGAGAGCGAAACGCCUCCGUCUGUAGCGCCGUCAGAUAAGGCAGGCGAGCCUGAAGUAUUGUCACGGAGGGUAUCCCCGAGUCCGGAGGGGCCAGAGAGUUCGGUACCCGCUAGUAUCCGGCCGGGAGAACUGAAGAAUCUGUUUGAGAGGGCGUCCAUCUCAGAAUAUCACCGUGCGUUGAUGCGUAUGGUGAUUGGAAGGAUUUCGUCCGCCGAAAGCGGAUUGCGCAAUGCCGCUAUGAGUUUGCUGGCGGGGUUCGAGGUACGCGAGAAUGACGCAUCUCUUUGUCUAUUGACAGUCUUGCACAUGAAAAUGCGCCCUGUAUAGAUAGUAGCCCCUGAGACUCGGUAGGUUGUCGAAAACGACAGCGUGCCGAGGAUCAAAAUCGAAAGUAAUGAAUUCCGCCGUUUCUAUGCAGGUGGCGGAUAGUCCGAGUGCUAGCCGGACUAGUGGGUUUGCCGAGUUAAAUCGGCAACUUGACGUGGCGGAUGCGGACAUCGCACUUGUCAACUGGCGACUUGACGAGUCGCAAGGUAAAUGAGUUCUUCGCAGUUGCUUUAUUAAGGGGGUCGAAGCCCUCCUCUGAUAAAUUAUAUGCUGUUGUACAGACGGUGCUGCUGCCGUGGAGAGCCUUCGGGCCGAACUUGCUCGAGCUAAGGAGCAAGCCCGAAGGAGUGACGCGGCUGCCUCGAGGGCGGCCGAGGAAUUGAAAGCCGAAAGGGCUGCGCACUGCCUAAGCAGGGCAGAGGUGGCCGAAUUGGCCAUGAAAGUAAAAGAUGCUGCCGACCGCAAUGAGGCUCUUGAAAAGGAGCGCUUAUCGGAGCGGGAAGACCUGAAGAAGGCCACCGCCGAAGCCAAGGAUGCCUGCUCUGCAAUGCGGGCUAUGAAGGAGGAACUACGCUAGGCCGGAGAUAUCGUAGCUGGCAAGCCUUUUCUGCUGCGUCGCCGGUUUAUGGAUCAAAAGUAUGCUCAAUUUGAGCGGCUGUGGAGUCCGGAGGAUCCGUAUAUGGACUUAGCUGCAAGUGCGGCUGAUGCCGUUGAGCACUUCCGGCGCCAGAAGGAUCACAAGACGGAAGAGCUAUAUUGGUCUCAAUUCCAUAGUCCGGAUCGCUCACUUCCGUUGACAGACCGGUUGGCCGAAUGGGCCGAGCUAAAUAGAUUGUCCGGACUUGCCAUGACUGACAUCGUGGCUCAUGUCUGGCCAGAGAGGCCCAAGGCGACGAGCUACUUCGGCUUACUGCAGCAAUUCCUUGGAGCGGUGCCGCAUAUAAAGGAGAUGAAGCGGUCGGCCUGCAUCGAGGGCGUGCGGAUGGCUCUUGCCCGUGUGAAGGCGCACUGUCCGGAGAUGGAUGCCACCGCUGUUGCUGCCCAGGGUUCGGAUGAAAGCCGGCUCCCCGCCGAGCACUAUUUCGGGGAAGUUAUGCGUGGCGCUCGUGUAAUAGAGUCACAGUGCUCGAAAAAUAUCACGUUCAAAUGAAUGUUUUAGCUUGUAAAACAAUGAUUAUGCUAUAACUGCUUUUUAUACUUGUGCGUCCCAAGUAGUAAAACUUCUCCUGUGCGGCCGUUUACGUAUACAUUUGUAUAACUUGAAAGAUUGCAGUCUUCGGCUUCAGCCCCCACGCACAAGGUGCGGGGGUGUUCGCAAAAAUAGCGCGUUUUCACACUUAAUCUGACGUCUCGGUCCUGUUUAAAGAGGUGGUAGUGUAGCGAACGAGGCAAUCCGGACUAUAAUGCUUUAUCACUUUCACUUAGCCAGUGGAGUUCGAGGGUGGGGCUACGAUAUAGCCCCUGGUGGCACCGCACUUCUCCGAAUUCGGGGCGCGUGUGUGCCUGACCGGGAAACGGUCCUUCGUCAAAGCGGGGAAUUCUAAACAUUCCGGUAGUCGAUCGAGUGGUUGACCAGUCUCUCGCUGUAUCAUGACAGUCAGUUUUCGGCUUUCUCUACUGAGGUGCUCGCCCAGCCGAACUGAGGCACAAUCGCAGUAGUUCUCAUGGUGCUGCGCUAGCCGAUGAUACGGAACGUAAGGCAGCAAAACACAGGAGCCGGGCAAACCCAACAUUUGACCAAAGACAUGAUUCGGAGCUGAUGCAUAUAAUGCCUAACUCGAGACGCCGAACACUCCCGAAGGUGUUCGGUCUUUAUAAUAAUGGGCAGAACAAUGCCCUAAGCCCCUAGUGUCCAGGUACGGGCGUGGUCUUCUGACGCGGCCGAUGCCAAAACGUCAGGCUCCGCUUUGGCUAUAGGAAGAAACCAAGGGAGAAUAACAACAAGAGACAGUAAAAAAGGUUUACGCAGGGUCUCAAUCUGAAAAGAAUCCUCACAACGGGUCCCUACUGCACGUCUGGCCUGUGUCUUCGUUGCGCCGUUAUCCUGGACGGGUACGCACGUUGUUCAUCUGAAAAAAGAGAGGAACGCUUAGUUUGAAAACAAUUCGUGCGAAAAUAUGUGUAAAAGAAGAAAUAUAAAUAAGUAAAGCGGGGUUUGUAUGAACCCGCGGUUGUUUGUGCGCGCAGCCCCCUGUGAAGAGGUAUGCGGCUAGGGAGCCCCUAGCCUGCUGAAGCCGGAUUCAUCUAUCCGAUUCCGGGGUCUUUAAGUGACCCUCGCACUGAAAUGACGCCACGCGGACCGGGCAUCUUGUGUGUAAGAGACGCGUAAUGCGGUAUGGCGUUGAAGCGGACAAAAGCCUUUCGUCCCAAGAGUGCUUGAUAUCCACUUUUAAAUGGGACGAUGUGAAAAAUUAUUUUUUUGCGUCGAAAAUUGUUCGGUGAUCCGAACACGACUUCUAGUAAUAUGGAGCCUGUGCACUUGGCGUAAGGGCCUAGCGUCACUCCUUUGAAGGAAGUGCGGCUGUGUCGAAUUUUUGUAGGGUCUAUCCCCAUCUUACGGAUUGUGUUUGAAUACAGCAGGUUUAAGUCGCUGCCUCCGUCCAUUAGGACGUUAGUAAAUUGUAAUCCGUCUAUUAUGGGAUUCAAUAUCAGGGGAGUCCGUCCCGCAUUUCGAACGCUUCUGGAAUAGUCCAGGUGGUCGAAAGUGAUUGGUUUUGAUAUCCAAUCUCUAUGGUCUGCUGGGUUGGACCGCGCGAAGCUCUUUUUAGAAAGUGCCGCACUAUUUUUCCGUAUUAUCACAUGAAGUGAGUUUACUGCUUUGACCCCUUGUGGGAAAGUCUUUUGUUUUCCGGUGCUCUGCUGGUGGGGUUUAUCGUCUUCGCUUGACACGUCGAGCCCCUUGUGUUCGGCGUUUAGUCGGCCGGACUGUUUAAAAACCCAACAAUCCCGAUGGGUAUGGUUUGCAGGCCUUCCGGGGGUACUAUGGAUUUGACAUAUCCGACCCAGAAUCUUAUUUACGUUGGAUAGAUCGUCGCUGUCAUCCUUAAGAGGCGUUGUUUUGUUGUUUGGCCGCGAGCGUUUGAAUCCGGCGUUGACUGCCGUGCUCUUUGGGCUUUUGUCUUUAUUCUGGCGCUGUUCUUUUCUGCGCCGUGAUUUUCCGUUUCCAUCCCUUAUCUCGGGUGUACUUGGGUCGCUGGCGCUGCAUCUUGCUAGCCAGCUGUCCUCUCCCGCACAGAAGCGGGUCAUGAGGCUUGUUAGUGCGGACAUUGUCCUCGGUUUCUCUUGACCAAGGUGCCUGGCAAACCAUUCGUCUCGGACAUUGUGCUUAAAAGCUGCUAAGGCUUCGGCGUCCGGACAGUCGACUAUUUGGUUCUUUUUGGUAAGAAACCUGUUCCAGAAUUUCCGCGCUGACUCUCCGGGCUAUUGAGUUAUAUGACUUAGAUCAUCUGCAUCCGGAGGGCGGACAUAAUUCCCUUAAAAAUUUGCUCUAAACGCUUCCUCGAGCUCUUCCCAACUUCCCACAGUAUUUUUUGGGAGGCCUUUGAGCCAAUGACGGGCUGGCCCUUUGAGCUUGAGGGGUAGGUAUUUUAUGGCAUGGAGAUCAUCUCCUCUGGUCAUGUGUAUAUGUAGUAUGUAAUCUUCUAUCCAGACUCCAGGGUCUGUUGUUCCAUCGUAAGCCUCUAUGUUUAUGGGUUUAAAUCCUGCUGGGAAUUCAUGGUCCACCACCUCAUUGGUGAAACAUAGUGGGUGUGCGGCGCCCCUGUAUUUGGGUGUGCCACUAUCUUCGGACACUUGACGUGUUGCCUUGCUUCCUGGGGCCCUCUUCUUUGGCCCGUAGGUGGACCUGGCUGGGCCAUCUGUCUUUCCAGGUUCAUUAGUUGGUUUAUGUGUGGCGCCGCUUUCAUAAUUUGACCUAUCAUCUAGCCGUCUAUCCAACCAGCCGGCCUCUUUAUUUUUUUGACGGUGGAGGCUCUAUGGCCUCCUCGUCGAAUUCUGGUAGCAGCUUGCGCUUCGGGUAGCUCUUGGAUUGGUGUCCAUUGCCGUAUUUAUCUGCGGUUUUGAGCACUUUGCUCCAUCUCAUUCUGAGUGUGUCUUCCACUGUUUUGAGCCUCCGCUUUUCCUUCUUCAGGCUUCUUGCAGUGCUGACGAGUCUUUUCCGAAGGUUCUUGCUCUCCGGUGGUGUGUCCGACAUGAGAUCGUCCGGACUGUCGUUUUCACCGGGCCUGGACUGAUUAUCUGACUCGUCAUGUUCGGAAGGUUGCUUAUCUGCAUGUUCAUCGUCCAUUUGUGAGCCCUGCUGUAUUACAGGCUCCUUUGGAGCGUUGUUGUCGUCGAGGCGGGACUUAGGGCGGCGUCUGCGCCACCAUUUUUGUUGUUUAUCGGCAGGGUUGUAAGUGCAUCUAUUGCCCCUUAGUGAUUUUGGUGUAUUGAAGACUUAUAGGUUAAGUAACUGAUGCGUUUGUGAGUGUACACAGCUCUAUAAGUCUAUGAGGAGUUUGAUAUUUACAGAGAAAGUCGACCCCUAAAAAUGAAGUUCUUCAACUGAAGACUUUGAUAUUCUGAAGACUUUCUGAAGACUUUGAAAGUGAAGAAAUUGGUGUGACCUUGAAGACUUGAUAUUCAUUCGAGGAAUAUGAAGCGUGAAGACUUUUGUAGGAAACACCGUACUGUUAACGGGGGUCGAGGAAAUUGAAGCGUGAAGACUUGAUAUUCAUUCUCUUUCUUGAGUCAUAGGAAACACCGUACUGUUAAAGGGGGUCGAGGAAAUACUAAGGAAAAAUUUCCAUGUGAUGCUCAACUCAAAAUCCUACACCUACCAAUCCCUUCGAGUGAAGCCAUUGGAAAUCUCAUACAGUCCAGUCAAAUUCGUCAGUGACAGAGACGCAGUUCUUCUGUUCACUGAGGACUUUGCUCUGACUGAGGAGUUAGGAAUGCGCCAGUGCGAAUUGCCUACACAGUGAGUAACAUGAUAGCCCUGAGGAAUUUGAGAGUCAAAAUUCCGACCGUUGGUGUGCUGCGCGCCGGCUGUCCCAAAAUAUCUUAUCCACCUAACGGUCAUAUCAUUGAAGGGCAUUUAUGUCUUAUCAUGUCGGGCUGCUUCCUAGGCUAUAAAUAGCCGCCCCCUACAACCACUAGUUGGUUGGCUGCUCCGAGAGAACUUGACACUUGUCAUUUGAGAGCAACCCAUCCUCCGAGGACUUUGAGCGAAAAUCAUCAAGUGAGGAAAAUCCCAAAACCAAACCCCCACAAACCCAAAGUGAUUGAGCAUCACUGAAGAAAUUGAUCCUGCGUGGAUCCGACGCUUGUUACCUUUGAAGACUGUGCUUCUUCCAGAUGGUUAGGCGUCAAGGUCUAGAGCAUCCAAGAGGAAUUGUGGAUCGCCGAGUGACCAAGUCUGUGAAGGUUUGGAAGUCACCUGAAAACUUACCACGAGUGAUUGGACGAGGCCUGCAUGGUCUUAGUUCAAGGAGAAUAUGGUGAGGACUGGGUGUCCUGAGUUGCGGCUCAGAGACUGGGUGUCCAGGACUGUGUGUCCUCGAGUUUAAAUACUCAGCCGCUCCAACCAGACGUACAACUGAGACAGCAGUUGGAACUGGUUUACCAAAUCAUUGUCUUCACCAACUGACUGGUUCUAUUUCCUCAACUCUUUCAUUUCCUCAUUACUGUGUUGACUGUUGUUCAUAUCUAUGCUUGAAGACUUUGACUGAAGACUUUCACAAAUUCCUCAGUUCAAUUUCUUCAGUCUGUUUGUCUUCAUCUUGCUAUCUUGUGUUUACGCUUUCCGUACUCUGUGUUAGUCCUCAAUUCAUCAUGCUGACUAUGUUUGUAUCCUGUUAUGUUUACUUCUGAGUACAUAUUCUGCUGCAAGUAGUUCUUCGCUAAGGAAUUUCCUCAUCAGCAAAUUCCUCAGUGAAGAAUUCAUAAAAAUCGCCUAUUCACCCCCCUCUAGUCGAUAUAACGCACUUUCAAUUGGUAUCAGAGCAAGGUACUCCCUUGUUCUGUGUGAUUUUGGUUUAACCGCCUGGAGUUUUAGUUAUGUCGACCACAGGUAUGAUCAAGGUCUCGGCUGGGUGUCCUACCUUUGAUGGAACGGACUACCCCUACUGGAAGAACAAGAUGCGAAUGCAUCUUCAGGCAAUUGACAAUGAUCUCUGGUAUGUUGUGGAAAAUGGUGUCCCCUCUGUCACUGAAACACUGACCGCUACCGAUGUGAAGAGAUUCAAACAACUCGAUUCUCAAGCGAAGAAUAUCAUAUGUGUUCAUCUGAGCAAAGGACAGUAUGGAAGAGUGUCACAUCCCUAGCUUUACCCUGGCCAUGGACUAGCUUGGUUGCUGCAUCAUGUUUAAAUUCAAAUGAAAUUUGAACUGAGGAAUUCAGAAGCCUCAGAACCCUAAUUAAAAGAAGGGCAAGCACCCUUUAAAUUGCAUUCUGUGAAUCCAAAAUGCCCUAAAAAUAGUUUUGUGAAUUUUGGCAAGAGUUAUAUAUCAAACCAAAAUUCUGGAAUAUUUUUAAGGAAUUAUUUGGUCUCUGAAUUUAAAUCAAUAAUCUAUUUGAAUUUGGGGAUAUAUUCAUAAUAUAUAAUGAAUAUAUUUUCAAAUGCUUUGAAAUGUUUUAUGUACUUUUGGAAUAGUCCAGAGAGGUAACAUAAAAUAUUUCAGAAUGUUUUGGCACUGUAUGAAAUUAUUUUGGAAUUGAAAACAGUGGCAAAAGAUAUUAAAUAAAACAAACAGAACAGGAAAAAAAUAAAAAGAACAGAGCUUACCUGGCCUCCCCGUGCAGCCCACCAGAGCCGGCCCAGCUUCCCCAGCCGGCCCAGCCCACCUCCUCCUCCCUUGUCCUCUUCCUCCUCUGCCAGGAGGAUGAACAGAGGCGAGGCGUGGCGCUCGCCGACGCUGCCUCGGCCACCUCCUGCUUCCCCCUAGCCACCUCCUGCUUCCUCUCGUUGCCCUGGACCCCGUCCGCGACGCCACGCACCCCCCCAGGCCUCUCACUCUCUCCCCGAGCUCCUCUCCUCCUCUGGCUCUCUCGCGCGCAGCCACCGAACACACCCGCCGCCGCCGACGAGCUCUCUCGUGGCCACCGGCCACCCCUAGCCUCUCCGACACACCCACGAGCUCCGCCUCGACCCCCUCCUUCCUCCCCACCGACCCACGGCCCCCCGGAAGCCCUGCAACGCCGCCACCAUGGCCGUUCCGUCGCCGGCCACCGAAGCUCCCCUCCGUCGAUUCGCCGGACCCCGAGCCUCCCCUGCCUCGCCAGCAGCACCCGAAGAAUCGCGGUGAGCCACUGAACCGUUCCCCUCUUCUUCCCAUGCCGUUGGGCCGCUCUAGCCAUUGCUUCCGCCGGACCCGAGAGCUCGCCGCCGCCGUGCCUCGUAACCACCGUGGCUGGAGCCGUUGCAGCUCGAAGCCGAGCACACCACCGCACCCAACACGUCUCCAGGAGCCCGUAACCGCCACUAGCUUCCCUCCCGUGCCCCCGAACGCCAAACCCGACCUCACCGAACUCCGGCCGCCGCCUCGCUCGCCGCCGUUGCUGAUUCCGGCCACCCCUGCACCUCCCGUUGGUCCCCCUUGAUGCGCACGGUCGCGGGCUACCUCCUGGUGCCCUUGGCGCGUCGAUCCGAUGCCCCUAGCGCAAGUCCGGCGCUCCCCCUCCGUGCGGAAUGGUCGCCGCCGGCGAAACCCCGGCGACUGCCGACGUGGCACGCCUAAUUAGCACUAAUGACGCCUAAACACCCCCCCACAGCCACUGACAGUGGGCCCCGUAGUGGGUCAAAGCCCGGGUCAACGCGGGAUUAGCCCCUGUGUCACUGACGUGUGGACCCCACACGUCAGGUUUGACCUGGAGGUGCCCUGUUGACCUCGCUGACGUGGCCUUUGACCGGCCCCACAUGUCUGUGACUCCAGCCAGCACUGUGUCACUAACGUGUGGCCCCCACAUGUCAGAUUUGACCCGAGCCAGCCCAGUUGACUGCUGACGUCACAGUGACGUGGUGCUGACACCAUAAUUCAUUUUCUUGAAUUAUUCUAAUUCUAAAUAAUCAGAAAAUUCCAGAAAAUGCCUAAAACUUCUAUAAUUCAUAGAAAAUUAACCGUAACUCCAAAUUAAAUAAAUUAUAUAUGAAAAAUUAUUAGAAAAAUUCAAGGAAUCCAUCUGUACCAUUUUCAUGCAUGUUAGAACAACUUAUAGCUGCUGUUUAGCACAAAUCAAAUAAAUGGCAUUUGAAUAAUCACAUAUGGAGUUUGAAUUUGAAUUUUAUAUUCAAACCAACUUCAUUUAAUCUGUUGCUAGUUGCAUUAACUCAAAACACAUUCAUAUUGCCAUGUCAUGAGCAUGCAUCAUAUUGUGCAUUGCAUUGAUUGUAUUUCUUCCUUGUUGCCGGUAUUUGUUCCCUCUCGAUAGACGUGAUACCGAUGAUGUGAUCGUUGACACUGAUGAAGACCCAAUGUUGUCUUCAGAAGUGCCAGGCAAGCAAAACCCCCUUGUUCAUUUCGAUAAAAUCCCACUCUCUCGCUCCUGCUCUCUUUUACUGCAUUAGGACAACAACGACAUACUUGUUACUUGCUGCGGUAGCUGAACCCCUUUAUCCUUUGCAUGACCUGUCAUUGCCACAGUAAAUAGAUGAAACCCACUAGCAUGAGUAGGAGUUGUUUGAGCCCUGUUGUGCCUACUCAUUCAUGUUUGUUUGUCAUGCCUGCUACUGCUUAGAGUUGAGUCAGGUCUGAUUCAUCGGGGAUGAAUCAGAGGCGUGUGAACAUGUCCUACUGUGUGUGAGCUAAGUGUGUGAACACGAUUUGGUAAAGGUAGCGGUUAGAGGCCAUGUAGGAGUACAUGGUGGGUUGUCUCAUUGCAGCCGUCCUCAGGAACUGAGUUCUGUGUUUGUGAUCCAUGAUUCAGCUACUACCACGCAUUGGGCCCGAAACCAAUGGACCCUCUCGGCUUCUUGAUCACCCUUGUCCUCUGUCCAGGAGUUGCAAGUAGUUUCUGGUGUUUGUAGUAUGCUGGAGGCCGUGCGCAGCGCUGACCGUAGGGGUGGGCUGUGAUGCGGUAGGCACGUGGCCGGGUAAACCGGGCGCCCGUUUGGUGUCACGGAACCUUGUACACAUCGUUUGGGGCUGUGAGCGAAACUCCGGCCGGAUCUCCUCAUGGAUGGAACCCGAAUAGGCGAUAAACCUGGGCUAGAGACUUAGGUGAUUAGGUAGGUCGUGGCCGACACCCACGUUGGGCUUCCUCUUGAAGGUUGCCGAGUACAUGUCGUGUAAACGGCGGUAAGUGGUGAGAGCAUGUGUGAAGAAGUACACCCCUGCAGGGUUAAUAUCAUCUAUUCGAAUAGCCGUGUCCACGAAAAAGGACUUCUGGGUUGCUUAUAUCAGUUCAUAGACAAGUGGAAGUGGAUACUCUAAAAUACGCAAGAUAAGCGUGAGUGCUAUGGAUGGCGUUCUCGUAGGGAGACGUGAGCGGAUCCAUAGUGGUGUAUUGAUAUGGUGAAUAUGUGGACUCGUGUGCGCCACCUCAAAAAAGUUACUCGCAGUCGUAGUUCAGGAUAGCCACCGAGUCAAAGCUGGCUUGCUGCAGUUAAACCCCACCAUCCCUUUGUUGAUAAUGAUGCAUAUGUAGAUAGUUCUGAUGUAAGUCUUGCUGGGUACAUUUGUACUCACGUUUGCCUAUUUUGUGUUUUUGCAGAGAGACUUCAGUCUCACUAGUAUUUCCGCGUGGUCUUCGACGUUUAGCUUGUUACCUCAGCUACGAUCUUGUGCCUCGGCGGGAUUUGGUAGAUAGUCAGGCUUCUCAGCCUUUUUCAUUUAUAGAUGUCUGUACUCAGACAUGAUAGCUUCCGCUUGUGCUUGAUUUGUAUGCUCUGAAUGUUGGGUCAUGAGACCCAUGUUUGUAAUAUCUCGCUCCUCGGAGCCUAUUGAAUAGAUUACUUGAGUCAUAGAGUCAUGUUGUGAUGCCAUGUUGUAUUUGCACAUAUCGAGCAUAUUGUGUGUAUGUUAUUGAAAUGCUUGGUAUGUGUGGGAUCUGACCAUCUAGUUGUUUAUCUUUAGUAGCCUCUCUUACGGAGAAAUGUCUCCUAGUGUUUCCACCGAGCCAUGGUAGCUUGCUACUGCGCCGGAACACUUAGGCUGGCCGGCAUGUGUCCUUCUUCGUUCCUGUGUUUGUCCCUUCGGGGAAAUGUCACGCGGUGAAUACCGGAGUCCUGUUAGCCCGCUACAGCCCGGUUCACCGGAGUCCUGCUAGCCCAGUGCUACAGCCUGGAUUCCCUCGCUGAUGACCGACACGUUCGAUGCUGGGUCAUGGAUGCCUGUCCCUGUAAGUCUGUGCCGCUUUGGGUUUACGACUAGCCAUGUCAGCCCGGGCUCCUUAUCAUAUGGAUGCUAGCGACACUGUCAUAUACGUGUGCCAAAAGGCGCAAACGGUCCCGGGCAAAGUUAAGGCGACACCCGUGGGAAUACCGUGCGUGAGGCUGCAAAGUGAUAUGAGGUGUUACAUGCUAGAUCGAUGUGGCAUUGAGUCGGGGUCCUGACAGCGUUGGUAUCAGAGCUUGACUGCCUGUAGGAUUACCAAGCCAAACUGGUCGAAGUUGAGUCUAGAAAUUCUUAGUUAUAUAAGGGAAUUGAUUGUGGGAUGGAACGUAAGGCUCUUUUUACUCCUUAUACCUCAUGGCCUUCUGAUCUGAGUCAUCAUCUUCUCUUCUACGGGGAUUAAGAACUAGGCUAUCUCUUCUUUCUAUUAGGAUCACGUGUUACUAAUCCGUAGACUUAUAAGAUUGUUGGAUUUAAGCUUGAGUUCAGUUUCUACUACUUCCGUAUGUUAAUUGUUGAUCUCGAAACCUUGAUAUCGUGCUUCUGAGUGGUUAUGCCACCAUUUUGUGAAUGUCUCAAAUCUUUUCUGAGCAUUUACAGCCGUUAUGCUGUCCGAGUCAUCCCAGGUUUCUAUACAAUCUGAUGCAAUUUGCAAAUCCUUUCUUCCCGUUUCGAUGUUCCUUUGGGCCAGAUUAGCCACACUAGUCAGUGAGUUGAGGUACUUUAUUGCCUUGACAUAUAUGUUGGAGCUAGUAUUAUGACCCUAGGUGUCUUAGGGGAUCAUCUAGUAAUUUAGCCAUGAUUUGUGCUCCCAGUGUGAGGAUUCUGGCCAUCAUUCUCAAAAGCAUUCCGUGAUGCUACUUAGUAGUAGGUAUUCUAUUCCUGGGUUCUUGAACCCGAGAUUCACUCUUCUUACUUCAUGUCGAUAGUAAUUGCUAGCUCCCUUAGGUUAUUAGUAACCUUUGCGAUAGUCCUUGAAGCCCGUGGUAUCUUCUUCUUCCAGGUACCAUGAACUACUUAUGGCAGAAGUUCCUCGUUGAACUGAAAUAUCACAACAGGAUUAUUCUUGAGGAGUUCUCCAUUCAUAAAUCGUGACUCUGCCAGUUCUACCUUUCUGCAUGGGUUAUCCGGGAGAAAUAUGUUGAACUUGGUUCGACAUACUAAUCUAUGCAUCCACAACUCAGAAAAUUAUAUGUUCCUUUGAGUUGUUCUCUUUAGUUGCAUUCUGACCCUCGUCUAUCAAUUGAUAGUCAAGAGUAUGCGUGCGUUCGUUUAUCGAUGCCUAUUACUCUUGUGGUCCGUCAAGCCAUUCCAUCGCAGAAUGACUAGGAGAAACAAACUCCAGUACCUCUUCCAUAUCCAGGAUUGGGUCAGAGAAGUUGUGCUCCGCAGAUCAAAUUGCUAAUCCAGCUUUCGUUCUGUUCUACCUUGGAGUAUUACCAUCUUUAAAUCGGGAUUGUUAUAGGAAUUGCACCCCAUCCUAUGAACUCCUGGUACAGUGAUACUUCUUGCCGUCAUUAGUCAUUCCUCGGUCUUCGUGUUGAUGCAAUCGGAAUACCGACAAAUGAAUUGUGAUGUGUGAAAUCAAUACGCCUAGCAACCUCGUUGCUGGGUAGUUAAAGGACAAUAAUUUUAUUCUUAGUGUGUUGGUUAUUGAAUCAUCAUUCUAAGAUUGAUCGUGCUACCUAGUCCAUUCUCCUGGUUCACUCCUCGAUCGAUGAGUUAGGAUUAUUUCAAAUUCUUGCUCUAUUGAUCAUAUCGUCUUGCCCUGAAAAGCAAGAUUGUUCUCGAGCUUAGUAACAUACCGGUGGCUCGUGAUUCUCUGAAUAUCUUCUCAGAAGUAUUACCAGGUUGUCACCUGACCGCUAUGUUGAGCUCGUGAUCAAGUUGGGUUUUUGUGAACCAUCCUUCUCCAAGAAUUUGUGUUGGAUAUCCCUGAGCUAGUUGGUUAAGUUAGACAACGACUUGGAGAAUUGGAAGAUAAAAGCUUGCCUGACUUAGUUCGUUCCAAAGGGAUAUUCUUGUGUAGUGUGUGUUGAAGAAAGAUGAUAUCUUCAUCGAUUGGUCCCUGUGAUCAGUUGCUGGAUCUAUUGUCUUAUCAAUCCUUUGAUUUGAGUGUGGGCUAUCGUCAAAUCAAAUCAGAACCAACGAUAUUCGUAAUGUUGUCUUACUCGUGGUUGAUUCCUCGAGCAUACACCAUUAUAUCUUUGGUCUGACCAAUGCUAUCACCGUGUUCACUUAACUAUGGAAUUCCUUUUAAAAGGAAACCUAGAUGAAUUGUUGUUGAGCCCAUUGACAACAUCCUUAUCUCCUCCAUAAUUUUGUUGAACAUUAAGCUAGUGUUGGAAAUUUUUGAAAGCAUUUGUUCAUGCUAGCUCAUGAAGCAUAUGUUUGGAUGAAGGUAGUGACUUCCUUUAAUUCAUGUGCAUCUGAUGCAAGUUGCCGCCAUGGAUUCGAGAAAGUCAAUGUUGUUUUCUUGGAAUCAUUCCAAAUCAGUCAUGCACACGUGCGAAGAAUUCUGUGGUUUGAAGACUUGCAACCUUCAAUCUAUAUGUGUCCCUAGCACACCAAGCCACUGAUUGAAUUGUUCAAGGAGAAGAAGUUCCUUCUUAAGAGUAUACCUUAUGCAAGGACUUCGAUAUCCUCGAUGAUGGUUCCCCUCCUGAAUUCGGUAGUGUUUUAUUAUAAGACUACUUUGUGGUCAUGCUUGUCUUGGACAACAUGUUCACAUGUUUGUAGCAGAACCAGCUCAUGUUUUGGAGCUUGCUAUCGUAGUUCGUCUCCCGAGAAUCUCGCAACGUCAUCUCGUCGAUUUGUGUUGCAAACUUUUAUUUUUCUUCCUAGACUCGAUGAGUUUGGAAUAUCCUGACACCAACCAGAUCUGAAUCUUAGGCAGAUAUGAUGGGUUGGAACAUUUCCCAAGAACUAUAAUAUUGGUCUCUCGAUAACCGGUAAGAUGGAUGUCGUGGCCAACACACCCAUCCGGUAGACCUAUUAUUAUAGUAUCUUAUUUGAUGGAAUUGGCCACCUCCCCAUAGGGAUUUCGUAGGAUUUACUCCCUAGUUGCCCCUAUGGAUCUUUGUGUUCCCGAAGUCCGACCUUUACUUGAUGUUCUAGAUACCAAACCAUUUCAAUGAAUGGGAUACACUAGCACAUCAAGGAGAACAUUAGAAGCGGAGUGCUAAAUGUCUCUCGGUCGAUCAUCCAGAUUUUGUUUCCUUGGCCUCGCUAAGGUGAAAUCUGAGAAGGUGUUAUCUUCCUUUGCAUCUGCAUCAUCCAUCAUUAGCCAUCAUGGUAGUAUGUUGUGUUGUCAGCACCCUUGACACGGAUGUUGAUAAAACCUUGAUGAUUAUGGAAAUGCUCAAGUUCUUGAGAGCACGCACAAGCGCUAGGUGUUAUCAUCGACACUAAUUGGGAUGCUCUCAGUUUCCUCGGCAAUGCUAUGAUCUUUUCAAACAGCGAAUUCACUCCCUAUUGUUGGGUUCUUCCCCAGUUACCAGAAUCAUUCCCAGCAUUUGCAUUUUGUUCCUAGCUUGCACCACCAAUGUGCCAUUCUACCAUGGGUCUCUUCCAUUUCCGGUGAUAAGUAAAAUCAUCCAUUACGUUGUCUUCAACAAGGUAAUCCACAUCAUCCAAGUCCGAUUAUGCCAUUCUACCGACCCCGCCAAUCGAUUGCUUGUGAUUGCCUUAGGCUGGUAUAAAGAGUUUCAAUGAUCUUUGAAUCAAAGGUAAUUCUUUUUGUCACUUAAGGGGAUAUAUCUACGAGUCACCAUCCCUAAGAUGCCUCGUUGUGGUAUCAUGGCAAUCCAACUCCUCGCUACGUUGACAACCGAUCGCCACAUUCUUAAGUCUGGAAUUGUUGUCUACUUAGCGAACCCUCGUCAUUUGUCUUACUCCAUUUCUUCGGAUCUGUGCUUCGUCUCUCAGCUCAAGAUAUGUUGCUAUAUCUCAUCCCAUGAGUUGAUCCUAAGUUGUUCGGUCUUCUCGAAGAUCGAUUGUUCUAGAGUUUUCCUUUCCUCUUCUUGUCAUGAUUAGCUGAAGUUCUCAGAGCAAGACGACAAGACAAUGAUGGUGUUCAAAUCAACGUUCAUUUGAAGUGCACCCUGGAUCAUGAAGAUUAUACUAGUUUGCGUUUCCCCUUCACCUUACCCUACGCUUGAAUCUCGGGACGAGAUUCUUGUUUAGUGGGGGUGAGUUGUCACAUCCCUAGCUUUACCCUGGCCAUGGACUAGCUUGGUUGCUGCAUCAUGUUUAAAUUCAAAUGAAAUUUGAACUGAGGAAUUCAGAAGCCUCAAAACCCUAAUUAAAAGAAGGGCAAGCACCCUUUAAAUUGCAUUCUGUGAAUCCAAAAUGCCCUAAAAAUAGUUUUGUGAAUUUUGGCAAGAGUUAUAUAUCAAACCAAAAUUCUGGAAUAUUUUUAAGGAAUUAUUUGGUCUCUGAAUUUAAAUCAAUAAUCUAUUUGAAUUUGGGGAUAUAUUCAUAAUAUAUAAUGAAUAUAUUUUCAAAUGCUUUGAAAUGUUUUAUGUACUUUUGGAAUAGUCCAGAGAGGUAACAUAAAAUAUUUAAGAAUGUUUUGCACUGUAUGAAAUUAUUUUGGAAUUGAAAACAGUGGCAAAAGAUAUUAAAUAAAACAAACAGAACAGGAAAAAAAUAAAAAGAACAGAGCUUACCUGGCCUCCCCGUGCAGCCCACCAGAGCCGGCCCAGCUUCCCCAGCCGGCCCAGCCCACCUCCUCCUCCCUUGUCCUCUUCCUCCUCUGCCAGGAGGACGAACAGAGGCGAGGCGUGGCGCUCGCCGACGCUGCCUCGGCCACCUCCUGCUUCCCCCUAGCCACCUCCUGCUUCCUCUCGUUGCCCUGGACCCCGUCCGCGACGCCACGCACCCCCCCAGGCCUCUCACUCUCUCCCCGAGCUCCUCUCCUCCUCUGGCUCUCUCGCGCGCAGCCACCAAACACACCCGCCGCCGCCGACGAGCUCUCUCGUGGCCACCGGCCACCCCUAGCCUCUCCGACACACCCACGAGAUCCGCCUCGACCCCCUCCUUCCUCCCCACCGACCCACGGCCCCCCGGAAGCCCUGCAACGCCGCCACCAUCGCCGUUCCGUCGCCGGCCACCGAAGCUCCCCUCCGUCGAUUCGCCGGACCCCGAGCCUCCCCUGCCUCGCCAGCAGCACCAGAAGAAUCGCGGUGAGCCACUGAACCGUUCCCCUCUUCUUCCCAUGCCGUUGGGCCGCUCUAGCCAUUGCUUCCGCCGGACCCGAGAGCUCGCCGCCGCCGUGCCUCGUCACCACCGUGGCUGGAGCCGUUGCAGCUCGAAGCCGAGCACACCACCGCACCCAACACGUCUCCAGGAGCCCGUAGCCGCCACUAGCUUCCCUCCCGUGCCCCCGAACGCCAAACCCGACCUCACCGAACUCCGGCCGCCGCCUCGCUCGCCGCCGUUGCUGAUUCCGGCCACCCCCGCACCUCCCGUUGGUCCCCCUAGAUGCGCACGGGCGCGGGCUACCUCCUGGUGCCCUUGGCGCGUCGAUCCGAUGCCCCUAGCGCAAGUCCGGCGCUCCCCCGCCGUGCGGAAUGGUCGCCGCCGGCGAAACCCCGGCGACUGCCGACGUGGCACGCCUAAUUGGCACUAAUGACGCCUAAACACCCCCCCACAGCCACUGACAGUGGGCCCCGUAGUGGGUCAAAGCCCGGGUCAACGCGGGAUUAGCCCCUGUGUCACUGACGUGUGGACCCCACACGUCAGGUUUGACCUGGAGGCGCCCUGUUGACCUCGCUGACGUGGCCUUUGACCGGCCCCACAUGUCUGUGACUCCAGCCAGCACUGCGUCACUGACGUGUGGCCCCCACAUGUCAGGUUUGACCCGAGCCAGCCCAGUUGACUGCUGACGUCACAGUGACGUGGUGCUGACGCCAUAAUUCAUUUUCUGGAAUUAUUCUAAUUCUAAAUAAUCAGAAAAUUCCAGAAAAUGCCUAAAACUUCUAUAAUUCAUAGAAAAUUAACCGUAACUCCAAAUUAAAUAAAUUAUAUAUGAAAAAUUAUCAGAAAAAUUCAAGGAAUCCAUCUGUACCAUUUUCAUGCAUGUUAGAACAACUUAUAGCUGCUCUUUAGCACAAAUCAAAUAAAUGGCAUUUGAAUAAUCACAUAUGGAGUUUGAAUUUGAAUUUUAUAUUCAAACCAACUUCAUUUAAUCUGUUGCUAGUUGCAUUAACUCAAAACACAUUCAUAUUGCCAUGUCAUGAGCAUGCAUCAUAUUGUGCAUUGCAUUGAUUGUAUUUCUUCCUUGUUGCCGGUAUUUGUUCCCUCUCGAUAGACGUGAUACCGAUGAUGUGAUCGUUGACACUGAUGAAGACCCAAUGUUAUCUUCAGAAGUGCCAGGCAAGCAAAACCCCCUUGUUCAUUUCGAUAAAAUCCCACUCUCUCGCUCCUGCUUUCUUUUACUGCAUUAGGACAACAACGACAUACUUGUUACUUGCUGCGGUAGCUGAACCCCUUUAUCCUUUGCAUGACCUGUCAUUGCCACAGUAAAUAGAUGAAACCCACUAGCAUGAGUAGGAGUUGUUUGAGCCCUGUUGUGCCUACUCAUUCAUGUUUGUUUGUCAUGCCUGCUACUGCUUAGAGUUGAGUCAGGUCUGAUUCAUCGGGGAUGAAUCAGAGGCGUGUGAACAUGUCCUACUGUGUGUGAGCUAAGUGUGUGAACACGAUUUGGUAAAGGUAGCGGUGAGAGGCCAUGUAGGAGUACAUGGUGGGUUGUCUCAUUGCAGCCGUCCUCAGGAACUGAGUUCUGUGUUUGUGAUCCAUGAUUCAGCUACUACCACGCAUUGGGCCCGAAACCAAUGGACCCUCUCAGCUUCUUGAUCACCCUUGUCCUCUGUCCAGGAGUUGCAAGUAGUUUCUGGUGUUUGUAGUAUGCUGGAGGCCGUGCGCAGCGCUGACCGUAGGGGUGGGCUGUGAUGCGGUAGGCACGUGGCCGGGUAAACCGGGCGCCCGUUUGGUGUCACGGAACCCUGUACACAUCGUUUGGGGCUGUGAGCGAAACUCCGGCCGGAUCUCCUCAUGGAUGGAACCCGAAUAGGCGAUAAACCUGGGCUAGAGACUUAGGUGAUUAGGUAGCUCGUGGCCGACACCCACGUUGGGCUUCCGCUUGAAGGUUGCCGAGUACAUGUCGUGUAAACGGCGGUAAGUGGUGAGAGCAUGUGUGAAGAAGUACACCCCUGCAGGGUUAAUAUCAUCUAUUCGAAUAGCCGUGUCCACGGAAAAGGACUUCUGGGUUGCUUAUAUCAGUUCAUAGACAAGUGGAAGUGGAUACUCUAAAAUACGCAAGAUAAGCGUGAGUGCUAUGGAUGGCGUUCUCGUAGGGAGACGUGAGCGGAUCCAUAGUGGUGUAUUGAUAUGGUGAAUAUGUGGACUCGUGUGCGCCACCUCAAAAAAGUUACUCGCAGUCGUAGUUCAGGAUAGCCACCGAGUCAAAGCUGGCUUGCUGCAGUUAAACCCCACCAUCCCUUUGUUGAUAAUGAUGCAUAUGUAGAUAGUUCUGAUGUAAGUCUUGCUGGGUACAUUUGUACUCACGUUUGCCUAUUUUGUGUUUUUGCAGAGAGACUUCAGUCUCACUAGUAUUUCCGCGUGGUUUUCGACGUUUAGCUUGUUACCUCAGCUACGAUCUUGUGCCUCGGCAGGAUUUGGUAGAUAGUCAGGCUUCUCAGCCUUUUUCAUUUAUAGAUGUCUGUACUCAGACAUGAUAGCUUCCGCUUGUGCUUGAUUUGUAUGCUCUGAAUGUUGGGUCAUGAGACCCAUGUUUGUAAUAUCUCGCUCCUCGGAGCCUAUUGAAUAGAUUACUUGAGUCAUAGAGUCAUGUUGUGAUUCCAUGUUGUAUUUGCACAUAUCGAGCAUAUUGUGUGUAUGUUAUUGAAAUGCUUGGUAUGUGUGGGAUCUGACCAUCUAGUUGUUUAUCUUUAGUAGCCUCUCUUAUGGAGAAAUGUCUCCUAGUGUUUCCACCGAGCCAUGGUAGCUUGCUACUGCUCCGGAACACUUAGGCUGGCCGGCAUGUGUCCUUCUUCGUUCCUGUGUCUGUCCCUUCGGGGAAAUGUCACGCGGUGAAUACCGGAGUCCUGUUAGCCCGCUACAGCCCGGUUCACCGGAGUCCUGCUAGCCCAGUGCUACAGCCUGGAUUCACUCGCUGAUGACCGACACGUUCGAUGCUGGGUCAUGGAUGCCUGUCCCUGUAAGUCUGUGCCGCUUUGGGUUUACGACUAGCCAUGUCAGCCCAGGCUCCUUAUCAUAUGGAUGCUAGCGACACUGUCAUAUACGUGUGCCAAAAGGCGCAAACGGUCCCGGGCAAAGGUAAGGCGACACCCGUGGGAAUACCGUGCGUGAGGCCGCAAAGUGAUAUGAGGUGUUACAUGCUAGAUCGAUGUGGCAUUGAGUCGGGGUCCUGACAAAGAGUGAGUGCUUUGGAAACUGCUAAGCUUAUCUGGGAUAGGCUGUCCAAAGUAAAUGAAGGAGUUUCAACUCAGCGUGACUCUCGAGUCGAUGUUCUUCGGAAUCUCUUCAACCGCUUCAAAAGACUCGACAAUGAGAAUGUCCAACAAACCUUUGAUCGCCUCACUGACAUCUCAAAUGAGCUUCAAGCCCUCGGUGCCACUGACAUCACUGAUCAUGAAGUUGUGAAGAAACUGCUGAGAUCGCUUGAUUCCUCAUUUGAUACUCUGGGACUGAUGAUACAAGAACGUGCUGACUACAAGUCGCUUGAUCCUGCUGAUAUCCUCGAAAGGCUAAACACUCACGAGUUCCAGCUUGCUGAAAAGAGAGAUCUCUAUGGCUCAAACUAUGGCAAACCACGUGCCCUGAAGGCUAAGGCUAUGUCUGACUCUGAAUGUGAGGAUUUUGGUAGUAGCCUUGGUGAUCCUGAAGAACUGAGCCAGGAUCUAACACUGCUUGUGAAGAAAUUCCGGAAAUUCACAAGACGAGAUCGCUUUGAUAAAUCCUCAAGAGGAAAUGACUCCUCAUCCAGUGACUAUAAGAGAAGACUUUGCCACAAAUGCAAGAAGCCUGGUCACUAUAUUCAAGAUUGUCCUCAGUGGGAAAAGGAAAUGAAGAAGAAGAAAUACAAGGAUUACAGUUCUGAUGAUACGAAGAAGAAGAAGAAAUCGUCAAAAUCUUCGUCAUCAAAACCCUCAAAGUCCUCAUCUCACAAGAAGGGCAGCUCCAAGAAGGCUCAGGCAUUCAUUGGCAAUGAAAUGGACUCUGAAGCUGAAUCCGAGGAAAAUGAUGAAGAGGAGGAGUCUGAAGAAUUUGAGUCUGGUGUGGCGAGUCUGGCCGUUGCUACUGCUUUCGUCAGCAAGUCCAUCUUCAACACUGAAGAAACUGACUCCACCGACAAGCCUGAUGAAGAUAAUGAUGGCUACGCUCCCACCUGUUGCUUCAUGGCAAAAGGAGCCAAGGUACUCAAAUACAACUCCUCUGAUUCUAGUGAAAAUGAAUCUGAUGAGGAUCUCAAGCCUAGCUACUCUAAACUUGCUAAAAUUGCUGUGAAACAACAACAGGCUCUUGAAAAGGUUCAAAACAUGCUAGAUAAAAGUGAUGAUAUGUUGGGUGAAGAAAUGGAUCGCACUAAAGCCUUGACUGAAAAUCUUCACAGACUUCAGUCUAGGUAUGAUAACCUUCAAGGUCAUCAUAACUCUCUCCUGUCUGAUCAUGAGAAACUUUCUUAUGCAUUCCUUCAAGAAAAGCAAGAUCAUGAGAAGCUUUCUCUUGAAGCUCUUCAAAGAAAGGAAGAUCUUGAAAAGCUAAGAGUGUGUUAUGAAGAUCUUCAGAAGGAGCGCGAUUCAUUACUAGCUCAACAAAUCAGCGCUUCUCAGGAAGAAUUUGUUUCUCCAUGCUUAAAGUGCAUCGAACGUGAAUCUGCUAAUUCUUCACCUGAAUGUUCAAAUGCUUCAAAUGUUACAAAUUCUUCAUCAGCCUCUGCUAUCACAAUUCCUCAUCUGAGGACAUUGCUAGUAUCACUGACAAUGCAGGGCUAAAGGAAUUGUACAUGAUAGGGAUGUACAAAAGCCUCAAAGGGCAUCAGACACUUUGUGAUGUGCUCAAAAAGCAGAUGCUCAAUAGAAACCCUAGGAAAGAGGGUAUUGCCUUUGAGAGGAAACUCAAUGCCGAUGGAACAUACUGGAAGCCUGAGCAGUAUCCCAAAACCUCAUGGGUUGCUGCAAAGGGACCUCCAGUUGAUCCAUCUAACUUAUCUGGCUUUACGUGUGAAUCUUCUCAUUCUUCUGAUGAGUCAUUUGACUCCAACUAUAAAAUGUUCAAAAAUCAGAAUGGUGAAGUAUUUGCUAGAUAUGUUGGCACUAACUGCAGGAACGAUUCCCCCAUGAAGAAAAUCUGGGUUCCCAAAAGCUGUGUUGAAAAUCUUCAGGUGAAUGUCCUCGUGACACCACCUGUGAAGAACAGGAACCCCAGAUCAAAUUCUUCACAUGGAUCAAAUUCCUCAAAUGGAUCAAAGUACUCAUAUGAUUAUCAUUGUGCUAACAACUCUGUCUCGCAGGGUAGAGCUAAGGGCUAUGAAUAUGUGCAUUAUUCUUCAAACCAUUAUGUUCAUAAGUCCUCGAAGAAUUACUCUGCUUAUUCAUAUGCAUACCCUAACCCCUCCUAUGCUAAGCGAAAUGGUUUGGCAUCUUUGCCACCUUUCUCACAUGGUGCUCGCAGGAUGAUGAACUCUUUGCCUCCCCUCCAGAUGUGGGUGGUGAAGAAAAGGAACUAAUUUCUUCUGUAGGGUCAGGUCUCCAGACGUGCUCUAACGUCUGAAGAUUUUGCUGGGGACCUGACAAAAAUGCCUGAAAGGACGCAUGCGAAUCAUGAUGAAAUGAACUUUCAUUUCACACGUCCUCAUACCGCUAUAUCUGUUUACUGCUUGAUGAAAUUCGUCUGAUGACCUUGAUAUCAUAUUCUUCACUGAUGAAGCAUAUGAGAUUGUAAGCUACACUAAUUCAUCUGCAGGAUGAUCAACCCAAAACCACUGAAUGGGUCCUCGAUAGUGGAUGUACAAAUCACAUGACUGGUGACAAGAAUCUAUUGAUGGAUGCUCCCUUAUCACCGUCACCUCUGAAGCAUAUCAUCUUUGCUGACAAAGGCCAAAGUCAGGUAUUGGGUCUUGGUAAGGUUGCUAUCUCUAAGGAUAAGCACAUGGACAAAGUCAUGCUUGUUGAGUCCUUAGGAUACAAUCUCAUGUCAGUCUCAAUGCUUUGUGAUCUUGAUAUGGUUGUUGUCUUCGGUAAAUAUCGCUGUGUUGUGAUUAUGGAAGCUGACAAUUCCAAAGUCUUCGAAGGCUUUAGGAGAGGAGAUCUGUAUAUUGUUGAUUUCUCUACAGGACCACAACCAGCCGUGUGUCUACUCACAAAAGCUUCAGAAGGCUGGCUAUGGCAUCGACGACUUGGUCAUGCAGGCAUGAGGAAUUUGAACACGCUUGCAAAGAAGAAGCAUGUCAUUGGCAUUGAGAAUGUCAAAUUCCUCAAGGAUCACUUAUGCGGAGCAUGUGAAGCCGGAAAAAUGACCAAGGCCAAGCAUCCAGCGAAGACUAUCAUGACCACUACACGUCCAUUUGAAUUGCUUCACAUGGACCUCUUCGGACCUAAUCAUUAUUCAGUAGUCAACAAGAAAAGAACUCUUGUUGAGAUGGCUCGCACUAUGCUUGAUGAAUACAAAACGCCUCAGCGUUUUUGGAUUGAUGCAAUUGAUACUGCCUGCCACAUCAUCAACAGAGUAUAUCUUCACAAAUUCUUCAAGAAGACUGCCUAUGAACUCCUCACUGACAAGAAACCUAAUGUGAGUUAUUUCAAAGUCUUCGGUGCUAAAUGUUGGAUUGGAGAUCCUCACCAGAACUCUAAAUUUGCACCGAAAGCACAUGAAGGUUUUAGGCUUGGUUACGGAAAGGACUCGCACACCUACAAAGUCUUCAACAUUGUUCUUCACAAGAUUGUUGACACUGUAGAUGUGCGGUUCGAUGAAACUAAUGGCUUGCAAAGAGAGCACAUACCUUCUGUGUUAGAUGAACCAACACCUGAGGAUGCUAUCAAGCUCAAGGCAACUGAGGAUGUCAUUCCUACUGAAGAAUCUGCUGAAGAAUUCAUUCCUGUUCGUGAAGAACGUCGAGCUGAUGCACCUGAAGAACAUGAUGAGGAAAAUGGUGCCGAAGAAAAUGCUGAUCAAAAUCCUCAGCGACAACCAACUCAUCCACGUGUUGCAAAAUAAGUGCAAGUGCAGAAGAUCAUCGAUGACAUUAACGCACCAGGUCCUCUCACACGCUCAAAAGCUUUGCAUUUAUCUAACUUUUGUGGGCACUAUGCUUUUGUCUCUAUCUCAGAGCUCACUAAGGUAGAUGAAGCAUUUCUGGAGCCGGAAUGGAUUCAGGCUAUGCAAGAAGAAUUACAUCAGUUCGAGCUGAACAAUGUCUGGGAAUUGGUCAAUCGCCCAGAUCCUCGCAAGCAUAAUAUCAUUGGCACAAAGUGGAUCUACCGCAACAAGCAAGAUGAAAAUGGCCUUGUGGUGAGGAAUAAGGCACGACUAGUAGCUCAAGGCUACACACAGGUUGAAGGAAUUGAUUUCGAUGAAACUUUUGCACCUGUUGCUAGACUUGAGGCUAUUCGCAUUUUACUCGCCUAUGCUAACCAUCAUGAUAUCAUCUUAUAUCAAAUGGAUGUGAAAAGUGCAUUCCUCCAUGGUAAGCUUGAGGAAGAAGUAUAUGUUGCUCAACCCCAAGGUUUUGAAGAUCCCAAGAAUCCUGACAAAGUCUUCAGACUCAAUAAGGCCCUCUAUGGCCUCAUGCAAGCCCCUCGGGCGUGGUAUGACACAUUGAAGGAAUUCUUCGUGAAGAAUGGCUUCACACCCGGUUCACUCGACCCUACUCUUUUUACUAAAUCAUAUGAUGGUGAACUGUUUGUGUGCCAAAUAUAUGUUGAUGAUAUUAUCUUUGGCUGUACUAACCAACGAUACAGUGAUGAAUUUGCCUAUAUGAUGAGUGAAGAAUAUCAAAUGUCUAUGAUGGGAGAAUUGAAAUUCUUCUUAGGUCUUCAAAUUCGUCAGCAGCGCAAUGGCAUAUUCAUAUCUCAGGAGAAAUACCUGAAAGAUGUACUGAGGAAAUACGGCAUGCAAGAUUGCAAAGGCGUCAAAAUUCCUAUGCCCACAAAUGGCCAUCUAUGCACUGAUGAAAAUGGUAUUGACUUCGAUCACAAGGUAUACCGCUCCAUGAUUGGUUCUUUAUUGUACUUAUGUGCAUCUAGGCCAGAUAUAAUGCUUAGUGUUUGCAUGUGUGCCCGAUUUCAAGCUGCACCGCAGGAAUCACACCAUAAGGCUAUGAAGCAUAUUCUUCGAUAUCUAGCUCACACACCAACACUAGGAUUAUGGUACCCCAAGGGCUCUACUUUUGAUCUCAUUGGAUAUUCUGACUCUCACUAUGCUGGUGAUUGUGUGGACCGCAAGUCAACAUCUGGCACUUGUCAUUUCCUCGGACGAUCUUUGGUCUGUUGGUCCUCGAAGAAACAGAACUGCGUCUCACUGUCUACUGCUGAAGCUGAAUACAUUGCUGCUGGCUCAUGCUGUGCUCAACUGCUUUGGAUGAAGCAAACCCUCAAGGACUAUGGCAUCAACGUGAAGAAUGUGCCUCUCCUCUGCAACAAUGAGAGUGCCAUCAAGAUUGCUCACAACCCAGUUCAGCACUCGAAGACUAAGCACAUCCAGAUUCGUCAUCAUUUUCUUCGUGAUCAUGUGUUGAAGGCGACAUCUCCAUCGAGCAUGUGAAGACUGAAGAACAGCUAGCUGAUAUCUUCACUAAGCCCUUGGAUGAGAAGAAAUUUAGCAAGUUGCGGUGUGAGCUAAAUAUCUUAGAAUAUUCGAAUGUUCUUUGAAAAGGACACACAUCCUAAUCCUUAUGCAGAAUUGAUGACUUAGAUGUGCAACACAUGAAGAAACGUUUUUCUUCAAUCAAUGAAGAAUAACACUCUAAGUGUGAAGAAAUUAAUGAAGAAUUUGAUUCACAGAACCCUACGACAAUUGUACGCGGUGUCUGAAAUCAUCAUUCUUAUACGGUGGGCUACGCCACCACAAAAGUUGAAAAUCUUCAAUUUGAGUUUUUCCUCAUUUUUGAAAUUCCUCAGUUUUUAAAAUUCUUCAACUUUGCAAAAUCUUCAAUGUUUCCAUCGUUUUUCUUCAUUAGCUAUAUAUAUAUAUAUGUGAGUUUAUGUCCUCUACAACAUUCACUUAUUGCUAUUUCUUCAAGUUGCGAUUUCUGCUAAGUGAAUAUGAUCGGACCCUUCCCCCUCUAUGCUAUACUCAACCCAAUCUAUUCACAAAUUCUUCAUGUGUGUUCUGAUUGAAACUCGUUCAAAGUCUUCACUAUGUCCUUGACAGCUGAAGAAAUUGCGAACGAAAUUUUUAAGCAAAUCUUAUCCAGAUUUUCGGUUUUACCGCUCAAACCAUUCCGUUUCCCACGAUACAUUAGUUUAUUCACCCAUGAUCUUACACGAUCUCGUCUGCACAGUACGUGGGUGACACAUGUUGCGUGAAGGAGAAAGGGCAGGGGCAUGUUCGUCCCAAAAUCUUCGGAAGAAGAGUUUUUACCGUGGCUAUAAAGACCCCUCUCCCUUCCUUACUUCAUUUACUCCACUCAGUCGCUGUCUCUCGCUCGAGCUCUCCUCAAACCCUAGCACCGCCGCUACUCCAUCGCCGUCGGUGGGGAAGAGAUUCACUGCCUCGACCUCGUCGCCGUCGUACUCGCGCCGGCUGCGGAAAUCUUCACUCCGCCGCCGCCGUAGCCGUCUCCCUCUGCCAAGUUAGGGCGUGGGAGAUCUAACGUGACGAACUUCACUACAGUUCAUCUAUGUUCAUCGUGUUCUUCAGUUCGGGUAAUUAAAAGUCACUUUUAUUACUCGCCUUGAUUCUCAAAUCUUUCUGAAAAUCUUCAAAGGUGUUUUAUUCUUCAAAUCUUCACAUAUGAACACCUCACACAUUGUAUGCUCUUGAUUUAUCUCUCUAAGCAUUCAUUUCUUCAAGAUUCCUCAAUUGUGCGGAUUUUCAAUCUGUACAACUCUGGAACAUAAGACAAAAUGCUUAGUGAAAUUCCUCAAGGCUCAACUGGUCAAAUUCCUCAAAACUUGUUCCUUUUGAAAAAUCUUCUGAGAACGCAUAUGACCUCUCCAAAUUCCUCGCACCUACACUCUAUUCACAGGUACUCAUGUCCGCUGCUGAAUCAUUAGGUUCUCAUCAACUUAACUCAUUUGCAGCGUUCCUCGAAGAAAAACUGCAUACUUCUUCAGAGUGUUCUAUUGUUGAAAUUCCUCAUCUGAAGAAAAUGGCAGAAGCCAAGAGACCACAGAAGGGAGGAAAGAAACCGGAGGUCAUGACUGCCUUUGAGAUCCCUGAUGAAAUUUACAAAGAUUACUGCACACCUGAUGAAGCCAAAUUUGGCAAAGAGACCAAAAAUCAGCACAAAGUGCGCAUCCAGAGGAUAGAACGAAGAUGGGCACGAGAAUGGAGGGAAUAUCGCUAUGUUACUCCCAAGUGCAUGAAGAAAUUCACCUUAAACCCUCCAUGCCCAAGAGCUCCUUUGGCACCUGGCCAAGUCGCUGAUCCCACUAGCGGUGCGCCUGAAGAAACUGAACCACAGUCCUCAGCUCCUCCUGCGCCAACACCAACUCAAAUUCUUCCUUCUGCUUAUGAAGUGAAGAAGACAAAGGCUGCAGAACGAGCUACAGUGAAGAAGAGGAAGGCAUCAGCUGUGUCAAAUUCUUCGGCUGCGAAGAAAAUGAAGCCAAUGACCAGCUCUCUUGAACAUCCCAUUGAUGCCGUUCCCAUUUCCUCCAUGUCGUCUAAGGAAAUUGUUCCUUAUGGAGAAGACUACAAGAUCCCAAGCGGAUCAGAUGAAGAAAAUCAAUCUGUUGCUACCUCAGAACAGGUUGAUGAAGAAAUUGAAGUGGAAACAUUCCCUUCAUCACCAGUUGUUUCCUCACCCAUGCCUCAAUUCACAGCUGAAGAGGCUGGUGUUGAGGAAAUUGAAAAAGAAGAUGAAGACGUGGAUAUUGGAUGAACUACACCAGUGAUGAACGAUGACUUUUGGGAAAGUCAGCAUCCCAAUACUCCCCUCUUCACUCCGAUUCAACAAAUUCCUCAGUCCCCGGCUACAACUGUUCAAUUGGGCUCUGAAGAAACUCAUCCCACAUCAUCCGUUAAUGAGGAAAUUCCAGCCACUAGCGCUGAAGAACCUGCUGCUGAUCCCCAAACUCCACAAGAAGAGGAACCAGAAAUUCCUCAGCCUGAAGCACCUGAGAUCGCGAUUCCUGAGGUUGUGCUGUAAGUCACUGACAUUCCUCUGCCCAAACCGAAGAAUCCGUUCUCUAGCAAGCAAAAAUUCAAGGCUGAAGACUUCUUUUCUGAGCAUGUGUUCUUCACUGCUUACAAUCCAUAUGACUCUGCUCGCAUGAGGAAAAGACGCUUCUGGACUGCUACUCAAGCCAACUUCUAUUCCUCAGUGCUCUUUGACAAGGACAAGAUCUUCGAUCAUGAGCCUAUUCCUCAUGUGGAUAUGGAAUCUCUGCCGUGCUUCGAGCCAGUACUCCGAGUUAUUCAUGAUGCAGGACUCCUAAAUUUCUGCACUGAUAUCUGUGAUUGGAAUGAAGAACUCAUUCUUCAGUUCUACGCCACUCUGCAUAUCACCAGAGAUGCUGAAGAUGUCAAUUCAUGGGUGCUGGAUUGGAUGACAGAAAACACUCACUACAAGGCACCAGUAACUGAAUUGCUUCGUGUCCUUCCUCCUGAUCCUCCCCAUGAAAGUGCACGUUGCAUCUACAAUGACCGAGAACUGACUGAUCAUUUUAUGCAAGUGCUCAUGAAGCCUUUGAAGCCAGGGCAGGCCCCUCGAACCAAAUUCCUCGUCAAGGAACUGCUGUAUGUGCCUCGGACUGUCUAUCGAAUCCUGACGAAGACAAUGAGUCCCAUCAAAGGCCACGACUCAAAUGAAGAAGAUGUCGUUGGCAUCAUGAAGAACAUGCUUUUCAACAUCAUUCAUGGUGUUCCCGUCAACUUCCAUGAUUUCUUCAUGAGGACUCUGGCUAAUGUUGCAAUGUCGCCUUUUGAGCUGAAGCCAUAUGCGCCUUGGAUUAUGAGAUUCAUAAGGGCACGAUCUUCACUGAAUUACAAGGCUGACACUCUAAAUCAUGGCAGCUACUUGCCGCCCAUUGAAGUCCUCAAGCGACCAGUUUCAUCAUUUGAUGAUAAAGGCAAGGCAGCGGCUGUGAUUGAUGAAGGCACUCGUCCAUUGGAUGGUCAAUUCCGUCUAGCUACAUCUUACUCCACCAAUGAUGAUUCUGCAACACAUGACACUGCCGCAAAUACCUCAGCCAAGCAAAAGCCUCAAGCAACAGCACCCAGGGUGAUGACUGGCCGUGAGUUACUCCUCAGUCUUCAUCAGAAGGUUGAACGCAAUCAGAAAUGGGUGAAGCGUCAAUUUGCUGCAAUUCUUCACAACAUGACCUCAACACAUAAUGCAGUGAAGAAAAAUCAGUACUACCUUCAUGAAACCCUCAACCGCACCUGGGCUAUUCUCAAUCAUGUAUAUUCCGCGGAAGAAUUGAAGACUAUGGGUCUCCAGGAAGCAUUUGACUGGUCUGCACCACCUCCCAAGAAAUUCAAGAGAGUCAAAGUUCCUGAUCUGGUGGCCAGUUCUUAUUCUUCAUCGCGUGAAACUGAUGAACAUGAAGAUUUGGACGACACUGCGGCAGGCCCUACUUCAACAACCAACCCCGACAACGCUGGCGCUCCUCCAUCAACUUGAAAAUCUUCAGGGGCGUUAGUCCUCAGUUUCGAUACUUUUGGUCAUUUGAUGACAAAGGGGGAGAAAUCUGAAUUAGUCUUCAAGCGGGUUUAUAUUAUGGGCGUUUUUAUUAAGUUACAACUCUCGUUCUUCCGAAACUUUUAUUGGAUCGAGUUGUAAUCUUAAAUCCAAUGGUGCCUUGAUACUUUUGGUCGUGCUCUGAUGCUUUUGAUGCACUGAGCUCUGAAACUUUUGAUGUGCUAUUCCGCAUGCUUAUUCCUUGUCAAUAUUAUUGCACGCAUGCUGAAUCUCAUCAGGAACCAUAUUUCAUCAUGCAUUUCAAAUUCUUCAUAUUAUAUAUCAAAUGCGUGUAUGAAAUACAAGAUAUAGAGGGAGAUCUCCAUGAUUCAGUUCUUCAAAUGUGCAAUGCCUCAAAAGCAAAUUCCUCACUAUGCACAUAUUCAGGGGGAGUUCUUCUAUAUCUUGCAAUCAAAUUCCUCAAUAUCAGUAUUUACACUUCAUAUGUUUAUCCCCGUUGAAAACUUAACCUAUGUUGUCAUCAAUCACCAAAAAGGGGGAGAUUGUAAGUGCAUCUAGUGCCCCUUAGUGAUUUUGGUGUAUUGAAGACUUAUAGGUUAAGUAACUGAUACGUUUGUGAGUGUACACAGGUCUAUAAGUCUAUGAGGAGUUUGAUAUUUACAGAGAAAGUCGACCCCUAAAAAUGAAGUUCUUCAACUGAAGACUUUGAUAUUCUGAAGACGUUCUGAAGACUUUGAAAGUGAAGAAAUUGGUGUGACCUUGAAGACUUGAUAUUCAUUCGAGGAAUAUGAAGCGUGAAGACUUUUGUAGGAAACACCGUACUGUUAACGGGGGUCGAGGAAAUUGAAGCGUGAAGACUUGAUAUUCAUUCUCUUUCUUGAGUCAUAGGAAACACCGUACUGUUAAAGGGGGUCGAGGAAAUACUAAGGAAAAAUUUCCAUGUGAUGCUCAACUCAAAAUCCUACACCUACCAAUCCCUUCGAGUGAAGCCAUUGGAAAUCUCAUACAGUCCAGUCAAAUUCGUUAGUGACAGAGACGCAGUUCUUCUGUUCACUGAGGACUUUGCUCUGACUGAGGAGUUAGGAAUUCGCCAGUGCGAAUUGCCUACACAGUGAGGAACAUGAUAGCCCUGAGGAAUUUGAGAGUCAAAAUUCCGACCGUUGCUGUGGUGCGCGCCGGCUGUCCCAAAAUAUCUUAUCCACCUAAUGGUCAUAUCAUUGAAGGGCAUUUAUGUCUUAUCAUGUUGGGCUGCUCCCUAGGCUAUAAAUAGCCGCCCCCUACAACCACUAGCUGGUUGGCUGCUCCGAGAGAACUUGACACUUGUCAUUUGAGAGCAACCCAUCCUCCGAGGACUUUGAGCGAAAAUCAUCAAGUGAGGAAAAUCCCAAAACCAAACCCCCACAAACCCAAAGUGAUUGGGCAUCACUAAAGAAAUUGAUCCUGCGUGGAUCCGACGCUUGUUACCUUUGAAGACUGUGCUUCUUCCAGACGGUUAGGCGUCAUGGUCUAGAGCAUCCAAGAGGAAUUGUGGAUCGUCGAGUGACCAAGUCUGUGAAGGUUUGGAAGUCACCUGAAGACUUACCACGAGUGAUUGGACGAGGCCUGCGUGGUCUUAGUUCAAGGAGAAUACGGUGAGGACUGGGUGUCCUGAGUUGCGGCUCAGAGACUGGGUGUCCGGGACUGUGUGUCCUCGAGUUUAAAUACUCAGCCGCUCCAACCAAACGUACAACUGAGACAGCAGUUGGAACUGGUUUACCAAAUCAUUGUCUUCACCAACUGACUGUUUCUAUUUCCUCAACUCUUUCAUUUCCUCAUUACUGUGUUGAAUGUUGUUCAUAUCUAUGCUUGAAGACUUUGACUGAAGACUUUCACAAAUUCCUCAGUUCAAUUUCUUCAGUCUGUUUGUCUUCAUCUUGCUAUCCUAUGUUUACGCUUUCCGUACUCUGUGUUAGUCCUUAUUUCAUCAUGCUGACUAUGUUUGUAUCCUGUUAUGUUUACUUCUGAGUACAUAUUCCGCUGCAAGUAGUUCUUCGCUAAGGAAUUUCCUCAUCAGCAAAUUCCUCAGUGAAGAAUUCAUAAAAAUCUCCUAUUCACCCCCCUCUAGUCGAUAUAACGCACUUUCAGGGGUUAUCUUCUGCCGCGGCCCGUUGGUCCUUGUUAUCGCUCUCCUUUGGGGUAUCCACCAUGUAUAUGUCAUGUGACGAGGUGGUCCUCCCGUGCCUUAUAGGCUCUGCUUCUUGUUCAUCUCCGGUAUCGUCGUCUAUUCCGUCGAUGUCUUCGGAGUCAUAGUCUAGCAUGUCGGUUAGAUCGUCGACAGUGGCUACAAAGUGGGUGGUGGGUGGACUCUGAAUUUCUUCGUCGUCCGUACCCCAACCAUCCUGGCCAUAGUCCGGCCAAGACUCUCCGGAUAACGAGAGAUGCUUUAGCGAAUUUAGGAUGUCGCCAAAGGGCGAGUGUUGGAAGAUGUCCGCUGCGGUGAAUUCCAUAACCGGCGCCCAAUCCAAAUCGAUCGGUAGGGGCGCGGAAGGUUCGGAGUCCGGCAAGGAGUCCGGCGCCUCGGAAUCACGAGUUUCGCAGGGGACAAGAUUAGUGUUCGGCUCCAUCGCCGUGGAUGUUGAAGCCCCCAGGGCGGCGUCUAUCCACCGGCCCUCGAUCUGGGCGAUCGGCUCCGGACUAAUGGCCGAAGCGGAUUCGUGUGCGGCCACCAAGGCACUGUUCGGCGACAGAGCUAGAUCAUGCCCGUCGUCACAGUGCGGCGCGCUUGGAUGUGGCUCGAGUCCGUCCAAGAUCAAGUCUCCGCGGACAUCGGCCGCGAAGUUUAGGCUUCCGAAUCUGACCUGACGGCCAGGGGCGUAGCUUUCGAUCUGCUCCAGAUGGCCAAGUGAAUUAGCCCGCAGUGCGAAGCCACCGAAUACGAAGAUCUGCCCGGGGAGAAAAGUCUCACCCUGGACAGCGUUGUUGGUUGAAGAUGCCAUCGGGCCUAUCGGUGAUGGCACAGAGGAACUCUCAAUGAAAGCACCAAUGUCGGUGUCAAAACCGGCGGAUCUCAGGUAGGGGGUCCCGAACUGUGCGUCUAGGCGGAUGGUAACAGGAGACGAGGGACACGAUGUUUUUACCCAGGUUCGGGCCCUCUUGAUGGAGGUAAAACCCUACGUCCUGCUUGAUUAAUAUUGAUGAUAUGGGUAGUACAAGAGUGGAUCUACCACGAGAUCAAGGAGGCUAAACCCUAGAAGCUAGC
This 47436-nucleotide long non-coding RNA is filed under the name Triticum aestivum (bread wheat). RNAcentral describes it as "long non-coding RNA (TAES_LNC027074)". The record is from RNAcentral. Lineage: Eukaryota; Viridiplantae; Streptophyta; Magnoliopsida; Poales; Poaceae.